CUCUUUCUUCUCCUCUUUCUUCUUCCACUUACCUUAUUUUACCCAACAAGGACAUAAUUAGCUAAUUUAGAACCAAAAUGACAUAAUUAGCUAAUUUAACUCCGAAAUGACAUAAUUAGCUAAUUUAGCUCAAAAAAUGAGAUAAUUACCUUAGUUAGGUAAAAACAUAACAAGAACCUUGGUUAGCUCAUAACUUAGCGUAUCUUCCUCCUAAAUGACAUAAUAAUCUCAAAAUGGCGUAAGAACCUUGGUAAGCUCAUAAAUGUUAUAUACUUAGCUUGUUUUCCUCUAAAAUGACAUAAUUAGUUUACUUAGGUAAAAAAUGGCAUAAGAACAUUUGUUACAUCAUAAAUUUCACAUAGUUAGCUUAUUUUCAUCCAAAAUGACAUAAUUAGCUUAGUUAGGUAAAAAAAAAAUGGCAUAAUAACCUUGGUUAGCUCAAAAAGGUCAUAUACUUUGCUUCUUUUCCUCCAAAAUGACAUAAUAAGCUCAAAAAAUGUCAUAUAUUGUUCUUCUUCUUCUAACCUUCUUAUUCCCANNGUGUAAAAGUUUGUAUGUUGGUUAUUUCGAUCUAUGUGUUGUGACUGAUGACAAGCUAAAUUACAGAGUCACACAAUCGUACAUUAUUCAAAUGGAAAGCAGGGUCCGACUACGGACAAGAUAAACGACAAAAGCAAUGCUAUCCCAUAUUGCUAGGCCCACGAUCACGACCAAGUGCCUAUAAUCCUUGGGAUAUGUCACGUACAGUCUGCCACUGCCUCGUCGAACUCCCACCUCAGCUGGGUAUCCCCGGGAACAUCUGCAUCUAGGGAGCCCCCCUGCAGGGUUAAAUCUUUUGGAAAGUAGUGCCCAUGGUUAUGUGGCAACAUGGAUAUUUUGUUAACAUUCGGUUCUAGACAAUCUAAAGUAACUUAACUAAAAUCUGCCAACUGUGUGCGUAACUGUGAUUGUUUCUUUUAGAGCUCCUUCUCUGAUCGAGAACACGGUGGGGUUAUGAAUGACGUAAGUAGGUAUUCAGGAUCACUUAGUGAUCUUAGAUCUCGAUCGUCUUACAUAGUCCACCAUAACAUAUUUCUGAUCUUCGUAAGUUAGCCUCCAUAUAAGCUUACGUUGCUGCAAACUCAAACACUUAACCCUACCUCACUCAUUAACUUAGUUAGACUCGAUACCAAAGUCAUGAGAUUGUUGAGUCAUCGUGACUCACAGUUUACUACAACCACCCAUAGGUACAGGUACCCUAGAUGCAGACGUUCCCGGGGAUACCCAGCUGAGGUGGGAGUUCGACGAGGCAGUGGCUGACUGUACGUGACAUAUCCCAAGGAUUAUAGGCACUUGGUCGUGAUCGUGGGCCUAGCAAUAUGGGAUAGCAUUUCGAUCUAUGUGUUGUGACUGAUGACCAAAUGGCAUUGAUGAACUUUAUAUGUAUAUCAUAUAUGUGAUGUGAACUACAUAUCAUAUAUGUGUUGUGAACUAUAUAUAAGUGUUGUGAAAUAGCAUAAAAUAAACAAAACAGUCAUAAUAUGGGUUCUUUGCCGUCUGCCAGAUGAUGGCAAAAGGCCUUUGCCAUUAGCUGACAGACGACAAAGGGGCCAUGUGGCAGAUAGCUGUGCAAAAUGGGGCAACAAGCGGCUGGCCCAUAUGGGUACUUUGCCGUCUGCUGCCCUGGGAAGUAGACGACAAAGGUUUUCAAGAAGGCAUACGACAAAGGUGUUGGAAAUAUGCCCUAGAGGCAAUAACAAAUUGGUUAUUAUUAUAUUUCCUUGUUCAUAAAAAUUAUUUAUUAUCCAUGCUAGAAUUGUAUUGAUUGGAAACUCAAAUACAUGUGUGGAUACAUAGACAACACACUGUCCCUAGUGAGCCUCUAGUUGACUAGCUCGUUGAUUAAAGAUGGUCAAGAUUUCCUGGCCAUGGACAAGUGUUGUCACUUGAUAAAGGGAUCACAUCAUUAGGAGAAUGAUGUGAUGGAAAAGACCCAAACUAUGAACGUAGCAUAUGAUCGUGUUAGUAUAUUGCUACUAUUUCGGCAUGUCAAUGUAUAUGUUCCUAUGACCAUGAGAUCAUGCAACUCCCGGACACCGGAGGAAUACCUUGUGUGUAUCAAACAUCGCAACGUAACUGGGUGACUAUAAAGGUGCUCUACAGGUAUCUCUGAAGGUGUCUGUUGGGUUGGCAUGGAUCAAGACUCGGAUUUGUCACUCCGUGUGAUGGGGAGGUAUCUCGGGGCCCACUCGGUAAUACAACAUCACAGUAAGACUUGCAAGCAAUGUGACUAAGGAGUUAGUCACGGGAUCAUGUAUUACGGAACGAGUAAAGAGACUUGUCAGUAAUGAGAUUGAACUAGAUAUGGAGAUACCGAUGAUCGAAUCUCGGGCAAGUAACAUACCGAAGGACAAAGGGAACAUCAUACAGGAUUAACUAAAUCCUUGACAUAGAGGUUCAAACGAUAGAGAUCUUUGUAGAAUAUGUAGGAUCCAAUAUGGGCAUCCAGGUCCCGCUGUUGGUUAUUGAUCGGAGAAUGUGUCAUGUCAUGUCUACAUAGUUCUCGAACCCGCACGGUCUGCACACUUAAGGUUCGGUGACGUUUCAGUAUAGUUGAGUUAUAGUUUUUGGUGACUGAAGGUUGUUCGGUGACGUUUCGGUAAAUAUUGAUAGAUAGAAAGUUCUGUUUUGGUCACCGGAAAAGUUUCGGGCUCAUUGGUAGUGUACCGGGAGUGCUGGGAGGGUGCCGGAGGACCACCGGGAGGGGUGUGACGACCCAAGAGCCUUAUGGGAUGUGAGAGGAGGUGACCAGCCCAUGGUGGGCUGUCCGAAGCCUCUCUCAAAAGCCCAUGUGGCUAGGUGUGGAGAUAAAAGGCAAAAGUGCUUUAAAACGAAAGGAAGGAGGAUUCCUCCCAAAGUAGUCCACCUCCCUUGUUGGAAUGUGGACUCUUCCAUGUAGGGUUCGGCCGACCCCUUCUCCUUGGAUUAGGGGCCAAGGCUGCCUCCUCUCCCCUCCUCCUAUAUAUACUAGAGAUUUUGAGGGUUUUGACACACAGAAAUCAGCCACGACUGUCUCUCGGAUAUGUUUCUCCUCUAGUCUAGUUCGGCAGUGCUUAGGCGAAGCCCUGCUGGACUAGUUCACCACCACAACCACCACGCCGCCGUGCUGGAUAACUCAUCUACCUCUCCACACCUCUUGCUGGAUCAAGAAGGUGGAGAUCGUCGUCAAGAUGUACGUGUGUUGAACGCGGAGGUGUCGUCCGUUCGACACUAGAUGGGGAUGGAUCGUGAUGGGAUCGCGGAACGGAUCGUGAUGAGAUUGCCGGACGGGCUGCGAUUUGGAUCAUGAAGAUGUUCCACUACAUCAACCCCGUUAUAUACGCUUCCGCUUAGCGAUCUACAAGGGUAUGUAGAUUCCCUCCCCUCUCGUAGAUGAUCAUCACCAUGGAUAGGUAUUGUGUGUGUGUAGGAAAAUUUUUGUUUCCCAUGAGCUCUCGAGAGAAAUUAUCAUUCAGAACUUCUAUGCUCAGCUUUCUCAUGAUGAUCGCACCAUGCUUGACACUUCUUGUACUAGUUCUUUUAUGAAGAGAGAUAUUGACUUCAGAUGGAAUUUAUUGGAAAGAAUUAAACGCAACUCUGAAGAUUGGGAGUUUGAUGAAGGUAAGGAGUCAGGUAUGAAUUUCAAGUUUGAUUGUGUUAAAUCCUUUGUUGAAACAGAUGAUUUUUGUGAUUUUGGCGCUAAAUAUGGACUUGACUCUGAGAUAGUAGCUUCAUUGUGUGAAUCAUUUGCUGCUCAUAUUGAUCUCCCUAAAGAGAAGUGGUUUAAAUAUCAUCCUCCCUUAGAAGUCAAUGUAGUUAAACCCAAUCCAGUUGAAGAGAAAGUCAUUGCUUAUAAUGACCCUAUUGUUCCCAGUGCUUACAUUGAGAAACCACCUUUUCCUGUUAGGAUAAAGGAUCAUUCUAAAGUUUCAACUCUGAUACGUAGGGGCUACAUUAGAACACCUACACCCCCUGAGCAAAUUGGAGUUGAACCUAGCAUUGCUAUUAUCAAACAUCUCCUGUCCGACAAUGUUGAUGGCCAUGAUAUUCACUUCUGUGAAGAUGCUGCUAGAAUUGCUAAACCACAUGCUAGAGACAAACAUAGGCAUGUUGUUGGCACGUCUGUUGUUUCUGUCAAUAUAGGAGAUCAUUGUUAUCAUGGCUUAUGUGACGUGGGUGCUAGUGUUAGUGCAAUACCUCAAUCCUUAUAUGAUGAAAUUAAAGAUGAGAUUGCACCUGUUGAGAUGGAACCUAUUGAUGUCACUAUUCAGCUUGCCAAUGGAGAUACUAUUUGCCCUUUGGGAAUUGUUAGAGAUGUUGAAGUCUUGUGUGGUAAAACAAAGUAUCGUGCUGAUUUUCUCGUUCUUGCUACCACACAAGAUAGCUUUUGUCCCAUCAUAUUUGGCAGACCUUUCCUCAAUACUGUCAAUGCUCAUAUUGACUGUGAGAAGCAAAUUGUCACUGUUGGCUUUGAAGGUGUGUCACAAGAGUUCAAUUUCUCCAAGUUUGGUAGACAACCUCAUGAAAAAGAGUUGCCUAGUAAGGAUGAAAUUAUUGCCCUAACUUCUAUUAUCGUGCCUCCUACUGAUCCCUUAGAGCAAUACCUGCUUGAGCAUGAAAAUGAUAUGCAUAUGGAUGAAAGGAAUGAGAUAGAUAGAGUUAUAUUUGAAAAAUAUCCUAUGCUUAAGAAUAAUUUGCCUGUUGAACUGCUUGGAGAUCCACCCCCACCAAAGGGUGAUCCUGUGUUCGAGCUUAAACAGUUGCCUGAUACUCUUAAGUAUGCGUAUCUCGAUGAAAAAGAGAUAUAUCCUGUUAUAAUUAGUGCUAGCCUCUCAGAGCAUGAAGAAAAGAAGUUACUAAAAACUCUGAGGAAGCAUCGUGUUGCUAUUGGAUAUACUCUUGAUGAUCUUAAGGGCAUUAGUCCCACUCUAUGCCAGCACAAGAUUAAAACCGAUCCUGAUUCCAAACCAGUUGUCGAUCAUCAACGAAGAUUAAAUCCUAAGAUGGAAGAGGUAGUAAGCAAAGAGAUACUAAAGCUCCUGGAAGCAGGCAUUAUCUAUCAUGUUGCUCAUAGUGAUUGGGUGAGUCCGGUGCAUUGCGUCCCUAAGAAGGGAGGUAUUACCAUUGUCCCUAAUGAUAAGGAUGAAUUGAUCCCAUAGAGGAUUAUUACUGGAUAUAGGAUGGUGAUCGAUUUUAGGAAAUUGAAUAAAGCCACUAGGAAAGAUCAUUACCCUUUGCCUUUUAUCGACCAAAUGCUAGAAAGAUUGUCUAAACACACACACUUCUGCUUUCUAGAUGGUUAUUUUGGUUUCUUCCAAAUACGUGUUGCACAAUCUGAUCAGGAGAAAACCACUUUCACCUGCCCUUUCGGUACCUUUGCUUACAAACAUAUGCAUUUUGGCUUAUGUAAUGCACCUGCCACCUUUCAAAGAUGUAUGAUGGCUAUAUUCUCUGACUUUUGUGAAAAGAUUGUUGAGGUUUUCAUGGAUGACUUCUCCGUUUACGGGUCUUCUUUUGAUGAUUUCCUCAACAACCUUGAUCGAGUCUUGCAGAGAUGUAAAGACACCAACCUUGUCUUGAAUUACGAGAAGUGUCACUUUAUGGUUAAUGAAGGCAUAGUCUUAGGACAUGAAAUUUCUGAAAGAGGUAUUGAAGUCGAUAAUUUCAGUGCUUGCAGAGAAUACCUUGCUGAAAACCACUUGUCAGAUCCUUCUGCUCCUCCUUGGGUUUGACACUCUUACUUAUCGAAAGGACUGCGAUAGAUCCCCUACACUUGUGGGUCAUCAGACACCAUCACGAGAGUGACCACACAUCACUCCCGCCACUAGUAAUGGGGCUCUUUGCUAGCACCGACCAGAGUAAUCAACAAAGCCCCGUCCCAUAAAGGGGUAAUGUGGUCGUACAUGUAAGGUUGGGACAGUCGGCACAUCAUAAAUCUAAUCCAAUUUCCGAAACCAUACUCACUCAAAAUACCCGGUGCACCACUUCUCCGAAAGUGACCACCUAACUCAUCAUCACCCUCGGGCAUUAGUGGCACCCGACGGGGUUUUCAUAAACCUUUGAUUUAUACCAACAUCAUGCUCAUGCUACCAUGCUUAGCUCUACUUGUCAUAGAUGGUAGGAUCAUGCUCAAAAUGCAAGUGCUCCAGAGGAGCCUUCGGUAACAUCACUUCAAUGAUUUACCGAGUACAUGUGAUCACAUGCAACGGAAAUACUUGCUACACUAGCAUGCAAUAUAACAUAUGCUCAGUCAUGGUCAAAGGUCUGCUUGCCUUUGCUCACAUAAAUCCUCGGGGUCUUCCAGGUCUUCCGAUCCAUCUCCUAGUGUUUCAUCUACCCGUCAACUAUCGUCAGAAACAACCACGGUAAGCCACACAGCAGGCAAAAAUUAAAGUGCUCCAUAAAUAGAAGUUAUAUGGGGUCUUGGACCUCUCUGGUCAUAAGAAAAAUACCUGAAGCUUGCCAUAGGAGAUUUAGAUCAUCAGAGAAUUUUUGAAUGGACGAAAGGAGGAAUAGGUGAUCUCUAAAGAUGCCUACAGAAAAUAUCAUGAUAAAAAUGAGUGGAGGCACUCAUUUAAUAGAUAAUAAUUUCAGAAAUAUUUAGGAAGUUGUUUCACUGGAUUUGGAGUUGGCAUGAAUAUUCUAGGGAUUUUCUAAAUGGAAUAAAUAGCAAAAGGGAUCUAUUUAUUUAUUGCAGCAGAAAUAUGCCAUAUAAAAAGGUUGGCUAUGUCUCCAAAAAUAGGGCAUGGUAUUAGAUGUCUCUGGAAUUUGGAAUCAAUCCAUUUGGAGUGGAUUUGAAUCCUGUAGGAUUUUUGAAAGGGGAGCUAGAAACACCCCAAAUCUGUAUUUAAAUAUAAAUACAGUAUAAAAUUUGUUUGGAAAAAUGUGCAAAGCACAUAUUUGGAUAGCCCUGGAUUUUAGGAACCUGCAGGAAUUUGAAUUAUCAAAUUUGGGGCUCAUAUGAAUUUGCUAUAGAUUUUUGAAGAUCGUGAAGAAAAAGAAAAGGCAAAAGAAGGCUACCAGGGGAUUUAUAUCGCGCUCAGGGCGGCCGGUAGAGAGAUGGGUCGGCCCAAUAGCACAGACUCACCAGCGAAGGGCCAUGGUGGAAGCGCAUUGCCAGGAAUACGCCUCCCACCGGGGAAGACGGUUUUUCACCAAAUCCCGCCUCCGCUUAACCUCAUAGUGGGGUCACGUCGUUGCGGCUUAGGCUGACAGGUGGGUUCUAGAGGAUAUGGGGUCCGCUGGCAGGAGCUACCUCUUCCUCCCGCCUAUGUCGACCGAAGGUGAGUAGAGGGCGUCGGCGCCGCUCGUGCCACGACCUGUGCAGCGGCAGGCGAGGCCCGGCCUCCCGGAGCCAUGGGGAAGGCGACGACCUGAAGGGGAGGGGUGCGCUGCGCUCCCCAUGGAAGGAUCUGGUUGCUGCCAGCUCUUGCCAGGGCGAAUGGCGGCGACGGCCCAAGCUGGGGAGCUCGAUUCGGCGGUGGAGGUCAAGCUCUGGAGCGCCAUGAAGGUGGGUGGAGGCAUUGGAGGGCCUAGGGGAAGCUCAGAAGGGGAGAAGAGGGAUCGGGAGAGCCGAAUUUGGAGCGAGACCACGGCGGCACCUUGCGGCCAUUGGAGAGAAAGAGAGCUCCAGAGGGAGAUCGGGGAGGUGCGGGAGAUUUCUAGGGAGAGAUGGAAGUGGAUAAGAGGGCUCAGGCGCUCGGGGAGUCCAUAUGGAGAGGGGGAGACGAGAAAGAUCUCUAGUGCUCCCUGGUGCUCUCUGGGCACGGCGGCCACGCGUGCCUGAGCCACCUUGGCUGCAUCCUGGCGGCGGGGAGGGCUUGAACGGUCAAAGGGGAGUGCCCUGGCGCGCUGGGACACGCGGUCGUUGAGGGACCCGAGCUGUAGGACGAAGAAAGGGUGCAGAGCACUGUUGCUGCAUGCUGCCAGCGCGGUCACCAUGGCCACUCGUGUCCAUAGGGCUACUAGGACGAGUCAAACAUGUCCAACACAUAGGGCACACAUGCAGGAAAGAGACUCGGGAAUUUGGUUGCAUCUGGGGCUGGUUUGAAUGGGUUUGGACUGUGAUUAAGUUUGCAGCAGCAAACUUGGGGCUGGCAUAAGUGGUUUUCUCAUAAGGGGAAUUGAGGUGAAACCUUGUCUACCAGUCUUAUACAUGGAAGUACUACAACAAUGCCAAGUUUGAGAUCAAGCACAGGUGUGUAGCUAGUACUUGUUGUACAAAGCUAUAUUUUAGCCAGAAAUAAACUUGCAGAUGUGGUGCUCAAUUUCCACAUAUGAGCAUGCCAUAAAUUGGCUUGAAAUGAUGCCUUGGAAUGCUAGAGGCCCUUUGGAAAGAUAUGGUGGCUUUGGCUUAAGCAGAAGUGGGACGUGAGGGGUAAAAAGGGUGAACCAAGGGUAAAAAUGAGGAAUAGUUACAUGGAGUCUCUCUCCAAUAAUUGACUAGAGGCCAUGACAAAGCUACUGGAGGUAAAAUGUAACUAGGGAAGACUGUGGUAGAAAGUUGAGCUCAAGGGUAAAGGUGAAAGAGGUCAAAGUACCCACUUUAGUGAGUGCACACAAGGUGUUUGAUGAGUGUCAGAGCAACCAGAUGAGCUUCAAUAGAUAUGAAACUUAACAGGAUCAAAUAAUAGAUGAAAAUAAGCUUGGACACCAAAUUUGGGAUUUGGUGGAGAAGGUUUCCAAUGUAGACUUGGAAAACCCAUGAAAUGGGCAGAAAUAGCUUUCUGCUUACAAAACUAUUCAAAUCAGUUCUCACAAAUCCAAUAUUUGGUGUGGGCAUUAUUUGAGCAUUAAGGCAUGCCAAAAACGUUUGGUGUCAAUGGGAGAAACUUUAUAAUGUAAAGUUUCCCAAAGUCAGAAAUCAACAGAGAGGAUUUUGAGGGGCUUGGGACAAGUUCUUCUAUUCUCCUUGAUGCACCACUUGGGGUGGACGCAUUAUUGGAGUAUCAGAACAUGUCUACCAAAUUUCAGCGCAAUUGGAGAUACUUGACAAUGUAGAGUUGCUCAAAUUUGGAUCUGAACAGAUAGGGUUUUAGAAUAAUUAGGGAAAUAACUCGCUAGUGCACCACGUGAAAUAACUGGCUAGUCCACCUCCUGCACUCACCUAACAGAAAAGGGGAGGCGGCUCCCGACGGCGAUUGCCGGAGCUACAGGCCGUCUCCGGCGGUGCUCCGCCCAUGGAUGGACUCAUCAUGAAGAGGCGCAUCCAGUGGUGGGCGAACCAGAUGCUAGGGAUCGCCAGAGCAGUGGCUGCACUGCCCGUGGUUGACGGCGAUUCGGGCGGCGACAGCCUCGGGACUACGGCAUUGGAGGGCUAGGGAGGAGCUAGGACAGAGCUUCGCCUGGCUCCGGGGAGGCUGAUGAAGGUGGCACCAAGGAGGAAGGAGGCCCGACUCACUUCAAUUUAAGAGGAGGUUGGCGGCGGCCGUGGUGGCAAUGGGCGGCGAGGAAGAGCUCCGGGGCUCAGGCAGGCGUCUAGGGUGGGGUAGGGGUGUGAGGGGAGGCUGUCCUAGUAAAAUUUCAGAAAUUAUGGAGCAACAUAAAGUAUAGUUGCUUCACAAUCCAAAAUAAUGACCAGAGACAAAGAUUUGAUGUUGUGGUCACACAGUGGAUGGGGUGAUGCUCAAAUUUGGUGGAGAGUCAUGAUUGGAGGUCUUACAUGGACACCCGGCGUUGAGCUAGCUAUGUAUAAGACAAACCUUACUAUCAAGAACGACUAAGUCCAUGUGGUGGAUAGGCCUAUUGGCAGUUCCUCCAUGAUAAAACCACAAGCGGCAGAUAUGGACAGAGAUACUCCAUUUCUUGUUGUGAUUGUGUAUCUCAGAGAGAAUCUGAUGGGCCAUGUGCAAAGGCAGAGACAACGCUGGUUAGGAAGGUAAAAACAUAUACAUAAGCGUUACACCAAGCAUAGCAAUAUGAUAGGAUACCAAAUUGAAGUCAAGUAAACAGACAUACUAAGUGAACUAACAAAAUAGCAUGAACGCGUUAAUAGAGGCAUGUAUAAGAACAAACUAAACAGAGUCAAAGAUUGGGCGGUAAAAUCAUAUACAACAUAGAUACUAUCUGAGGCAAUGGUAGCGUAGGGGAAAAUAGCAUUUAUAUUCUUAAAGCUUGUUGAAAAGGGAGUAGACAAUUGAAAUUUAUUACUAAAACCAGGAACCAUGUGAAAAUGGAGAUCAAGGCGCAACAAGUAGUAGUGAACCAGAAGUAGCUCGCAAAAUAAAGUGCGACAUUAGAACUAUUAUAGAGUCUGAAAUAUCUUAGAGAAAACAAUGUUUCUAGUAUGGGAUCCAGGUGUGCCAUCUUCAUUCUCGAUCAGUAUUUUCAAGUAUUUAUUAGAAAUCAGAUGUGAGACGGCCACGUAAAGCUGGCCAUGAGUGAAAACACGCUUUUAAGGUAUAACCCAACAACCGAGAGAGUUUGUCCCUUGCUCUUAUUGAUGGACAUGGCAUAAGAAACCCUGAAUGGAAAUUGGCGAUGAUGCAAGUAAAUGGCAAUUUAGGAUCCUUGCUAGUGAUACAAAUCCUUGGAAUGUAUACAACAUCCCCGAUAUUAGAACCAAUCACGAUAAUAGCUUAAAUGACUUUGUCACCAACUUUAGAGACAAUAAGACGAGUGCCAUUAAAAAGACUAGUUGAUUGGCUCAUAUUCCUAACGAGCAUGAUUGGUACACCGUUUUUUGAAACUAGCUUAUGUUAUGGGAAAAUGUUAAUUUUCAUUGUGUUUAGGUACUCAACGGGAUAAAAUAUAUCCAUGUUACACAUUGAAUUAGCAGCAUUUCAUAUAGAAUCAUAGCUUAAAUACUCCCUCUCAGUGGAAGGCAUUAAGUCAAGCACAUGGUCAUUAACUUCUUGAGCUAGAUCAUUUGUUGUUGUAAAGAUAGCCCUUUGGCGCAAAUGCUUUGGGUUAUAACCGUUUUUAGCAAAGUUUGUGUAUGUAGUAUUAACAAACGCACCUAUUAUACCAUCUUCAGAAUGGAUCGGCACAGCAUCAAGAAUAGUUAUCCAACUUGGUUCACACUCCCCUUGCUGAGCUAAACAAGGUGUUGUGCCAUCACCAACACUCAGUAUCCAACCAGCAAAAUAAUCCACCUCAUCCUGUAAAACGAGGAAUGUUGUUUGCGCAGCCAAACUCGUGUUUAUGUUAAGCUGAAGAACCUUUAUAAAAUGCCAUGGAGGCAAAUUUGUUAUGGCAUCGUUGAUAACCUGGGAGCGAGUCCCACCCUCAAUGACCGGUAAAAUUUGUGUGAAAUCACCACCUAGGACCAUAAUCUUACCACCAAAAUGCAUGUCACCUAUAGAAGGAUCAUCAGUAGAUAAAACAUCAUGCAAGCUACGACCCAAGGCCUCAACACAUCUACAAUCUAUCAUUAAAGCUUCAUCCCAUAUUAUUAGCGACGCCAAUUUGAUCAUCUCUGUUAACUUGCUAGAUCUCUUUAUAUCACAUGUUCUAGUGUCAUUUAGACUGAUUGGUAUUUUGAACCUAGAAUGAGCAGUCCUGCCUCCAGGUAAAAGAAGUGUUGCAACCCCACGAGACGCAACUAUGAGAAAAAGCAUUUCUUUACCUCUAAGAUAAGCAAUUAUAGUACUCCAAAGAAAAGUCUUCCCAGUCCCAUAUCUAGAAACAAAUAAAAAGCCAGGCAUUCUAUAUAUAACUCUACGGAUAAUACUCUUAUAAGCUAGGAGCUGAUUUGGAUUUAGUUAGUUGUACAUGGUCUCUGCUUUUAUGAGUUCACUUUUAGGAUCACUACAUAGUUCAUAUGUUAUCGUGCCAUUCUCUCUAAGUCAUCAUCAUAUACAUUUUUUAGUGGUAGGUUGUGGUCUAGAAUAUUAAAUCCACUUUUAGCAAAUAGAAUGGUUAUUUAUCAAGCAACAUGUCUCUCAAUUCAUCGCGAGGCAUAACAUGAUUAUCAUUAGGAAAAUAGCGCUUUAUAUCAUACUUAAUAUCUUCAGCCAAGUCUGUCCAAUAUUUUUCAAAAAAAUCAUUUUCAUCGUUAACUCCAUAGUGGGCAAGGAUUGUAACAAAAAAAUAUGUAGUUGAUCCCCCAUACCCUAGGUCAGAGCCUCAUUAAACGCAUUAUACCAUUCAAGAUCAUCUCCAAGCAAGCCCUUAGCAUCACUGUAACAGCCCCAAUGCAAUUCUCCCCCCUCCUUGUAAUCUUUCCUUAUAAGGCAACCUUGUGAUGUUAUGUCAAGUGGGUUGAGCUCAUUGGUGUCUUCAUUUCAUGUGCAUCAUGGCAUCAUCGUUCAUCUUUGUUUUGUGUUGCACCCUUGGUGAUUGAAAGUGGAGUGUUAUGUGAGUGUGGCAUGUGAUUGUGUGUGAUGGGGACCAACUAUCUUAUCUUCUCAAAACCCUUGUUGCACCAAAAGUCUUGCAAAACCCCUUCUCUCCUCUCUUAUUUUCUAUGAGACAGUUUUAAAAGUUUCUGUUUUGGGUGAAAUAAAAUGUUCAUCUUUUCCUAAAAUACUUUUGAUAAUUGCGGGGGCAACCCCUCUGAUUUUAGUUUUGUUUUCCCUAUUUGUCUUAUUUUGAAACAGGGUCUUAUACAAAUAAAAGGCAUUUAAAUUUUACUCUCCAAAAAUGCCCAAUUUAUUAUCAUAAAUUGGUGCAUGAUUUUAGAAGACCAGGUAUAUUUUUAUUUUGUUUCAUUCCUUUCUUUAGCCUCUGGCAUUUUUUUCAAACCUGCUUCUCUUUUAUUUGCGAAGGGAUUUCUUUCUAGAGAGAGGGGUGCACGCCCGUUGCGUUAGUUUCAGCCCAGCCAGCCCAGGGCAAGACCCUCUUCUUCCUCGCGACGUCACCUUCAUACGGCGCCAGGGACAGCCGCCAGAUCGUGUCUUCUCCCUCAUCGACAGUCGUGCCUUGGUAUGCGGGCUAUUUAGCCUUCCCCUUCCCAUCUCCUUGCCCUAGCCUCUCUCUCCCCCCUCCCUCUCGCGCCAUCGGGAAGAAGCACAACACGGCCGUCACCAUGGACAGCUCCGGCUCGAGCUCGACGCCGGCAUAGCAUCGCCUCCCCUCCUUCCCCGUCUUGUCUAGGAGCAAGCGGUGCCCGGCGCGGUUCCAUUUUUGCGAAGACCCAGCGACAAGGACUGCAUCCCCGACGUCCACGACAGUCGGCUCCUUCCUCUUCUCUCCAACGAUCUCUUCUGCAAAGAACCUCAAUGUCGCGUGUUCCUUCAUGUGUCGGCUCUUCUCUCCAUCCCUAGGUGAGCGCACACCGUUCAUCUCCGCUCCCCUCUCCGGUAGUAGCCGUCGUAGUUACGUCGUGUCCGUAGCCCUGCCGGAGUUGCACCGCAGGUAGUAGCUUGCAGCGGCAGCAGUAGGUGGUAGCUUGCAGCAGCAGCAGUAGGUAGUAGCUUGCGGCAACGACAGUAUGUAGUAGCUUGCAGCAGCAGCCGCCGCCGCAGUUCAUAGCGCAGCAGCAGCAAUAAAUCGGUAGGCAACAGCGACGGAUGCAUAUCGUAGAAGCGGCAGCACGUCUUCGGCGCUCCUCUGCUUUCAGAGAGAGGACGCCCUGGGUUUUUCACCCCGCUUAGACCCCCCUUAAGAGCAUAUGCACUGCCCUAGACCGACUGGUACAACGCAAGUCCGCCGCCCCCCCCCCCCUCUUUCCCUUUUGAAUUUUCGCGUGGUAGUGUGGAGAGCAGAGCAGGUUCAUCCUACUUGCUGCUCUGAUUACCCUUUUGAAUUUUCGCGUGGUAGUGUGGAGACCAGAGCAGGUUCAUCCUACUUGCUGCUCUGAUUAGAGUAGAUGCACGUCGAUGGCGAAGUGGCAACCGAACCAUCUCUCGCGCAGCUGGUGGUCGGUUCGAGUCCCCCUUGCGCUCUUUUAUUCUGCUGGGAUUUUUCCCUCGUGUUAGGAGGGAGAGCCAGAUUGGUUGUUGUGCUUCUUUUAUUCUGCUGGGAUUUUUCCCUCGUGUUAGGAGGCAGAGCCAGAUUGGUUGUUGUGCUUCUUUUAUUCUGCUGGGAUUUUUCCUCGUGUUAGGAGGCAGAGCCAGAUUGGUUGUUGUGCUUCCCCUAUUAGUGCAGAAAGCAUGCGGUAGCCCAGUUGCAGGGUGUGGUGUGUGUGUGUGGGUGCGGUGGAGGGUUUGAUCCCCACAAAGCCCAUUUUCCCCUUUUCCAUGUUUUUUCAGUUGUGUGUGUGUGGUGUGUGACAAGUGGGCCCGGGGCCACAUGUCAUAUACUAAGGGCUCCUGGUCCCUAUGACCAGUGGGGCCCCCUGUCAUUUAGUGUGCUUAUUUGUUAUCUUCUUUUGUUUGUGAUGUAUUUUCAAAUAUGGAAUAUUUCCAGAAGAGGAAUAUACCCAAUUGGGCAGGUUCAAGAACAGCUCAUGUUCUGGAAAAUAGCAGAGUUUGAUCCUGUGUAGUAUUUCCUUUGCUGUUUGUGCUGUUUUUCUGCAUGCAUAUAUAGCAGUAUAAUAUAUGGUUUGGAGGUAGAAAAACCCAAAGAAUCCAAUGGUGGCACUCGAUUUCAGAGUUGAGUAGUUAUGCAAAACUAUCAUUUUGUGAUGAGGUGGCACUUGGUUAUCUGUGUAGGAUUGUUUAUGUGCAUAUUUAGGGGUUGUGUAUCCAUGCAUCAUAUUGAUUGUUGCAUUACCAAUUGCUGGUAUUUACUGUUGUUUGUUUCUUUUAGGUAGCUAGUGGGUCCGCAAACGAGUUCGAGGAGUCCGGUGAGUUCGUGCAUGAAGAUCAGGAAAAGUUCCACUCUAAAGAUAUCACACGCAAGAUUUUUUUCCCCUCGUGUUAGGAGGCAGAGCCAGAUUGGUUGUUGUGCUUCUUUUAUUCUGCUGGGAAUUUUCCCUCGUGUUAGGAGGCAGGGCCAGAUUGGUUGUUGUGCUUCUUUUAUUCUGCUGGGAUUUUUCCUCGUGUUAGGAGGCAGAGCCAGAUUGGUUGUUGUGCUUCCCCUAUUAGUGCAGAUAGCAUGCGGUAGCCCAGUUGCACGGUGUGAUGUGUGUGUGGGUGAGGUGGAGGAUUUGAUCCCCACAAAGCCCAUUUUCCCUUUUUCCAUGUUUUUUCAGUUGUGUGUGUGUGGUGUGUGACAGGUGGGCCCGGGGCUACAUGUCAUAUGCUAAGGGCUCCUCGUCCCUAUGACCAGUGGGGCCCUGUUGGCCCAGACUCGACCUUGACGACGCAACCGUCGAGUACUUUCCGACGAUGCACGUACAAGCUACCGCAACCGAUUACUUUCCGGCCGGUCGGGAGACUCGUGUACACAAGUAGUACGUAAAGCAGCUGGAUGGAUUUCCUUCCUGUGAGGCAAACACAUGCACGUAUACGAGUAGCCGCUUGAUGGAAUCGAGCCGCCGGCUAGCUAUGUUGUACACGCCACAGGAGAAACAAACACGCCGAGUUUUGGUGGCCAGAGGUGCGUGUCGCACCUGAUUGUUGAUCUCUAUGAUCUGUUUUUCUUGGUACAAAGACUACACAGGGGUAUACGUAUAUAUAUUGCUAAGCUAGGCCUACUGCAGACCGACUCGGUUUGCAAUACUACUACUAAUCCUACUCGGUUUGCAAUACUAACCAAAUUAGGACACACGUGUACGUUUAGACUACAACUAGGUUAAUUACUACAUUCACCUCCUUAACCUUGUUGAUAUGUCUUCAUUGCUUGCACUCCGACUUUCUUCCUCAUCUCAAUGAACUUCUGUCGACCGAGGGACUUGGUGAAAAUAUCAGCAAGCUGGUCCUUCGUAUUCACGUGCAGAACUUCUAUCAUCCCUUCCUCAACGCACUCCCGGAUAUGAUGGAACCGGGUAUCUAUGUGCUUGCUCCUUUCGUGAUGAACCGGAUUUUUGCACAAUGAGAUUGCAACUUGGUUGUCAAUCUUUAAUGACACCUUCUGCACCUCCCGCUUUGCAAGAAUAGCUAGGAGUCUUCUCAGCCAAACUUCUUGACAAGCCGCCGUGCUUGCCGCUAUGUAUUCUGCCUCGCAUGAAGACAGUGCCACCACCUUUUGCUUCUGAGAAUUCCAGCUAAUCGGAUUCGGGCCAAGGUAGAAAACCAUGCCCGUUGUGCUCUUUCGGUCAUCAACAUCACCUGCCAUGUCACUAUCUGAAUAUCCACGAAGGAUCAAUCCUUCCUUUCCCUUUCUGUACGUGCAGCCAAGAUUAAUUGUGCCUUUCACAUAGCGUAGAAUUUGAUUGACCACGCUCAUGUGUUCGGUUGUCGGUUUCUCCAUGAAACGACUCACGAUCCCGACUGAAUAAGCCAAGUCAGGUCGGGUAUGCACCAAGUAUCUUAGGCUACCCACAACGCUUCGAUACAUUGUGGUGUCCACCGGCGGAUUUGAGCUACGCUUGCUCAACUUGUGACGUUGGUCCAUUGGAACUUGUGUCGCGUAGCAAUCUGACAUGCCACACUUGUCCAAUAACUUGACCGCGUAAGCCGAUUGACAUAGGGAAAUCUCUCCGGAGCUUUGCUUCACUUCGAUGCCCAAGUAAUAGCUGAGUAAUCCCAGAUCACUCAUGCUAAACUUGUUCUUCAUUUGCGCCUUGAAACGUUCAAUUUCUUGUAUGCUAUCUCCGGUGAUAAUCAGAUCGUCGACAUAAACUCCAACUAGCAGGUUUGAGCCUUUGGAGUUCUUUGUAUAGACUGCGUGCUCGAGGGGACAUCUCUUGAACCCGAGCGAGACCAGACUUCGGUUUAACUUUGAGUUCCAAGCUCUUGGCGCUUGCUUUAACCCGUAAAGUGCCUUCUUGAGCUUGUAAACUUUCCCUUCUUCGCCUUUCUUCUCGUAGCCGAGGGGUUGUUCCACGUACACUUCUUCUGUGAGAUCGCCGUGAGGAAAGCGGAUUUAACAUCCAUAUGAUGAACCUUCCAAUCCUCUUGUGCUGCCAAAGCUAGGAGCACUCUCACCGUCUCGAUUCGAGCAACCGGUGCAAACACCUCAUCAUAGUCAACUCCUUGACGUUGAACGUAGCCCUUUGCAACGAGUCUUGCCUUGUACUUCACAAUGGCACCCUGCGUGUCCUUCUUUAACUUGUAAACCCACUUCAAACCUAUCGUCUUUUGGUUUGGAGGUCGGGUUACCAAAGUCCACGUGCCAUUGCUCUCAAGUGCCUUCAUCUCCUCAUCCAUGGCGUGCGUCCAGCUAGGACUUUUUCUCGCCUCUACGAAGUUCGCCGGCUCCUCAACUCCGAACAGAUAUAGUCCGGAGUACUCGAGCGUAACUGGCUUUGUGUACUUGUAGACUUUCUUGAGGGUCUUGUAGCGACGAGGCCCUGAGGAGUCCGUUGUGGCUUGCGAAGGAGGCGACACAAAUUGUGUCGGUGUUGAUGCACUUGAGGAAGACGGCUGAGACCUUGGUGUGUCAUCGACAUCCGUGUCGUCGGCGUAGUCGUCGUGACCGUGACCAUCAUCUUGAUUGUCGUCGUCACUAUGCGCCUCGUUGUCGAUGUUGUCGUCGAGAUCUCCGCCUGUGUCGUGCGCGGCGUUGUCUCUAUCUCCUUGCGACCUAUGCGCGUCGUCGUCGGUGUCGGCACCAUGAUGAUCACUACCAUUGUGGUCACCUUGGUUGGGCGUCUUGCCAAUCACCUGGACAUCCUCCCCUGCAUCAUCAUCAGUUGGAAAUUCAACUGCAAAUAUGUUACUGUUUGGAGCAUCGUCGGCUGCGGCGCUCCAAUUCCACGCUUGGUUUUCUUCAAACACGACGUCGCGUGAAAUCCGUAGACGCUUGGUUUGUGGAUCGUAGAAACGGUAUGCCUUGGUGCCAGAACUGCUCUCGUAUCCGAUGAACACCAUCUUGGUGCUACGAUCGGCAAGCUUUGAGAGGUGCGGCUCCGCCGUCUUCACAUGUGCCACGCACCCGAAUGUCCGUAGAUGAGACACAUUCGGCUUACGUCCGUAAAUUGCUUCAUACGGAGUCUUGCCGAUCACCGCCUUCGUUGGAGCCCGGUUGAGAAGAUAGACCGCCGUCGAGACAGCUUCUCCCCAAAAAGUCCCUGGCAGGUUCUUGCUCUUGAGUAAACUCCUUGCCAUGUCAACGACGGUUCGAUUGCGCCUUUCAACGACCCCAUUCUGCUGCGGCGUGUAAGGUGCCGUGAGGAACCUCUUUAUGCCAAUCUUCUCGCAGUAGUCGUUGAACUCAUUCGACGUAAACUCUCCGCCGCGAUCUGUCCGUAGAGCGCGAACCUUUAGCUUGUGUUCCAUCUCUGUUGCAGCCUUCAAUUUCUUGAACGCUUCAAACGCCUCAUCUUUAGAUCGUAGGAGAAUGACCCACAUAUAUCUCGAGUAGUCGUCUACCACAAGGAAGAAAUACUUCUUUCCAGCGUGAGUUGCCGGGGUGAUAGGGCCACAUAGAUCACCAUGGAGCAGCUCGAGUGCAUCACUUGCACGAUAGGUAGACUGAGCAGGGAAUGGCCUGCGGUGUUGUUUUCCAACCAAGCACCCGUCACAUACUCGAUCAACAUGGUCGAUAACUGGCAUCCCGGAUACCAUCUGCAUCUUUGACAUCUUCUUCAAGGGGUAGAAGUUAACGUGUCCAAAUCUAGCAUGCCAUAGCCACGAAUCAUCAUCACUCUUGGCAAGCCAACACUCCGGUUGAGAUUGAUCAAGGUUGAGGAUAUAGAGCCUAUUCCGUGUGCGAUUAACACGAGCUAGCACAUUUCGGAGGUUGUCGAAGAUCGUCAUCACUCCGCUCUCGAUAUUCACCUUGCAUCCAUUCUCAUCAAGCUUCCCAAUAGAGAUGAUGUUGUUGCGCAGCCGUGGGAUGUAGUACACUCCGGUGAGUAUGCGAUGUUCGCCUGUGAGACCCUCAAAGAGGACAGAUCCUUGCCCGCAAAUCUCCACAGCUGAACCAUCACCGAACUUGACCGAGCCUUCAACAUCGUAUUCCAGCUCGAGGAAUUUCUCCUUGCACCCCGUCAUGUGGUUACUGGCACCCGUGUCGAGAUACCACGACACGUUCUGAUCACCGGAUAACUUUGGUGUCACUUUUUCCUCAUGAAGUAGCACCUUCCGGCUUGGUUUCACAACCACCGUUUCAGCGAGAUCACAAACUUCGGCCAUCAGAAGACCUGGACCUUCGUCUUCCUGCUUUGCCAAAUUUGCCUUGAUCUCCCGCUUGUUAGGCUUUGGACAAUCCUUCGCAAAGUGACCCAUCUUAUUGCAGUUAUACACUUGACCUCGGACAAGUCCAAGUUCUGUGGUUUCUGCUCUUUAGAUUGGCCCGCCUUACCACGACCUUGUGGUUUGCCUUUUCCUUUGCCUUUUCCGUUUUGUCCAUCGCCCUUCGUGUUGCUUGAGCCUUCGCCACCGUCACGCCUUCCUUUGCUACUUGGGGCCUCCCAAUCUGUGCGCGAGUACAUGAGUUGGUCACUACCUCCUCCUUUGCCUUUCCGACAGCCACGAGCAUUCUCUUCCCAUGUCCGCAAUCGUCCGAUCGCCUCCGUUAUGGUCAUGUCGUCGAUGUCGUAAAGCUGCUCGAGCGUGCCGAUGAUGUACGUGAAUUUAUCAGUGACAGAACUGAAAAAUUUCUCCACGAUCUCGGUCUCAUCGAGCUUUGCACCAAGCGCGCGGAUCUCUCCCACCAAAGUAGUAAGACGCAUGGCGUAGUCAUUCACCGAUUCAGUUUCCUCCAUCUGCAACUUGUGAAAUUGGCGUUUCAGCACUUGUGCCCGAGCCUUGCUGACGCGAUCUUCUCCGAUCCUCAUCUCCUUGAGUGCGUUCCACGCCUCUCUUGCCGUCUCGAACUUCGCCAAUGUCAUCAGCACGGAAUCCGGCACAGACUGGGCUAUGGCGGCCAUGGCACCUUCGUCGCGCUCCUCGUCGACGUCGUCGUCCGUGAUGGCCUCCCACACUCGAAGGGAUCGAAGAAUAAUCUUCAUCUUCACCGCCCACACGCCGUAGUUGGCGUCGGUGAGCAUCGGGUACUGGAUGGGGAUGUUGCGAUGCGCCUGGACGUUAGCGCCGCUCGUUCCUCCACCACUGGUUGCUGACUUGACGCCCUUCUUCACCUUGUCGCCGUUCUUGUUCGCCUUGGCACCGCCGCUGCCGGACUUGACCGACUCAGCGUCGCUGUCCGUCAUCGUAGAUCGUAGAUCGUCGAGGCUCUAGAUACCAAUAGGCCCCUGUCAUUUAGUAUGCUUAUUUAUUAUUUUCUUUUGUUUGUGAUGUAUUUCCAAAUCUGGAAUAUUUCCAGAAGAGGAAUAUACCCAAUUGGGCAGGUUCAAGAACAGCUCAUGUUGUGGAAAAUAGCAGAGUUUGAUCCUGUGUAGUAUUUUCUUUGUUGUUUGUGGUGUUUUUCUGCAUGCAUAUAUAGCAGUAUAAUAUAUGGUUUGGGGUAGAAAAACCCAAGGAAUCCAAUGGUGGCACUCGAUUUCAGAGUUGAGUAGUUAUGCAAAACUGUCAUUUUGUGAUGAGGUGGCACUUGGUUAUCUGUGUAGGAUUGUUUAUGUGUAUAUUUAGGGGUUGUGUAUCCAUGCAUCAUAUUGAUUGUUGCAUUAUCAAUUGCUGGUGUUUAUUGUUGUUUGUUUCUUUUAGGUAGCUAGUGGGUCCCGAAACGAGUUCAAGGAGUCCGGUGAGUUCGUGCACGAAGAUCAGGAAAAGUUCCACUCUAAAGAUAUCACACGCAAGAUGAUCGUGACCUUGACACCGUUUCUAGCUUUGUUAUGCUUCGUGAUUCAUUUCAGUCGUUAUAUCUCCGUUGCCUACCACCUGAUAUAUAGGCCAUCAAACAUUGCCAUGAAACCUCAAACACCAACCCUCCUAGCAAAUAUUGUUUGGCUAAGUUAGGCUUACUCAACCUUUAUUAUUAGCAUUGCUAGUUGCAGGUGCAAGCUGGUCCAUGUGAUAACAUGGGCAUUUGAAAUCAUCCUUAUUUAAAUGCUAUUCACUUAAUGCACCUAUGUAAUUGGUAAAUAGCGGAAGGCCUAGCCUUUUGCCGGGUGAUUUGUUCCGCUGUUGCCGCCUUAGUUUCAUCUACCGGUGUUUUAUUCCAUAAGUCAGCGCUCCUAACACGUCCGAGGUUGUUAAUGGGACCCCCUUGGUUAAUCGUUUAGUGUUAAGGCAUGUCUGGCAAGACCCAACUUUGUUGUUAAUUUGUUAACAACUUAAUAAAAAGCAUAGGGAAUAGCUAUCCUGAGGAAUCCAAUCAUCCCCCCUGGGCCAGUGCUCCUCAUGAGUGUUGGUCCAAACUAGAGCACUGUGCGGGGCCAACCAGGUCAACUUGGGUGAUUUCUAUCAGGCCACCGUUCACGUAGCUUAUCCGACGUGUCCUGAAAUUGAGAUAUGCGGCUCUUAUCGGGUUCGUCGACACUUCCGGAGGUCUUGCUGGACUUGUCUUACCUUAGCGAUAUAUCUAGCGCAUUGGGAUUCCGGUGAGACUUUGGUUCUUCUCAGAGUUGAGGUUUUCCUCUAAGGAAUCCGAAGAGAUCGCGAGUUUCAUGGUCGACGAUUACUAUGCUGCCCGUGGUAAUUUUGAUGGAUUAGUUGGAGGACCCCUGCACGGUUAAAUCUUUCUGAAAGUCGUGCCCGCGGUUAUGUGGCAACAUGGAUAUUUUGUUAACAUCCGGUUCUAGACGAUUUAAAGUAACUUAACUAAAACCUGCCAACUGUGUGCAUAACCGUGACUGUUUCUUUCAAAGCUCCUUCUCUGAUCGAGAACAUGGUGGGGUUAUGAAUGACGUAAGUAGGUGUUCAGGAUCACUUGGUGGUCAUUCCUAGAUCUCGACCGUCUUACGUAUUCCACCAUAACAUAUUUCUGAUCUUCGUAAGUUAGCCUCCAUAUAAGCUUAGGUUGCUGCAAACUCAAACACUUAACCCUACCUCACUCAUUAACUUAGUUAGACUCGAUACCAAGGUCAUGAGAAUAAUGAGUCCUUGUGGCUCACAGUUUACUACAACCACCCAUAGGUACAGGUACCCUAGAUGCAGACGUUCCUGAGGAUACCCAGCUGAGGUGGGAGUUCGACGAGGCCAGUGGAAGAUUAUACAUGACGUAUCCCGAGGAUUAGAGGCACUUUGUCGUGAUCGUGGGCCUAGCAAGGCGGGAUAGCAUUGCUUUUGUCGUUUAUCUUGUCCAUAGUCGGACCCUGCUUUCCAUUUGAAUAAUGUAUGACUGUGUGACUCUGUAAUUUAGCUUGUGGCGAGUGUAAGCCAAAUCUUAUUACUCUUCCAUCCAUUAUGUAUUGCGAUGUUUAUCCUGCUUGCGAAACACUUAGAUGCGCCCCUUUCCCCUUUUGAGGCCUCGCCCCCAAAUAAGGAAAGAGACGCAUCUUAGUCGUUACAAGUUGGUAAUCAGAGUCUUACGACCAUAGGAGCCUUUGAUUGAUCGAACUUGGCUAAGUCGAAUCUAGUGAAAAACUAUUUUGGUUCUUAGUUAUAUCGGAGAGUAGGAUUCUUUUUUCUCCUCUUCUAUGCUCUGGUGAGGUUCACGACUUAGGAAAUUUUAAUUCUACUCCUCUUCUCACUCAAAAAAAAUUAGGAUCGCGUGGAUAUUUUUGGAAUCUAUAUGAUACCAAAGUGAAAGAGUUCUGGCUUGGUGCCUCCUGCUGUGUUGAUUUUAUUCCGGGGAGUUGAGCUUCAGGGGAUUCUUGAGCACAUCGUUAUCAUUCAGAUUCCUUAGUAUCUCAGGAUGGAGUAUGUUCGGAAUUGCUUCAAUACUAGUAGUGGCGAGAGGAGUCUGGCUUCCCCAGUACUGGUGCAGAUAUGUCUGGAUGUAUCGCCAUACUUAGUAUCAUUGUGAUUACGAGGGUCUGAGAUAGAUGAGGUUCCGAGAUUUUGGUUAUGUGUUGACGAAUGUGAUACACUGGACGGGUUAGUAUAGGAGUUGAUUGAUGAUUUGUCCUUGUAUCUGUGGACCAGAUUGCAUGACCAGAAAUUUCAAAAGUUCUUAGGUGGGAAUUCCGUUAGCAACUUAGGAAUUCUUUCAUGAGAUGUAUGUUGGGUAUAUACAUUUGUUCCAAGCAAUCCUAGCUCAUACUUGAUAUUUACAAGUGGCUUCUCAAUCAGAUGUUGUUGACAGAUAUUUUGAGGAAUCAUUCUUACUAAUUAUAUUUCGAGUCCUAUUGCUAAGAAUUCUUGUUCAGAUAUUUUUGUCCAUUGAAUCAGCUUAAUCUUUGAAUUUUCAUCUCUGGUCUUACGUUGUUGUCCGUCUCCAGGAUGGCUCCACCAACUCGCCAAAAUCCGGGUCGUGAGAGUGCUGACCAUCCACCACCCCCUCCGCCACCGCCUCCUCCUCCAGAGUCAUGGCAAGCUGUGAUGGCGACAACCAAUGCAAACACUCAGAUGUUGCUUCAGUUGUUGCAAGAGAGGAACCAACAGCAUCAGGGUAAUUUCAACAAUGGUGGACAGCAGUUUGCAACUCUAAAUCAACUCCUGGCGAACCAGCCGAAGUCCUUCACUUCCUGUGACGAGCCAUUCAAUGCAGAUGACUAAAUUCGUGACAUGAACAAGCACUUAAAGUGCAGUAAUGUGCAACCAGAGGACUUUGUCAAGUUUGCAAUAUUUCAGCUCAAGGGGCAGGCAGCAGAAUGGUAGCAAUUGAAGGAUUCCACAGGCGACAAAGUGAUCAGUUGGGAUGAUUCCUGCAGGGAUUUCAGGGCUCACUAUAUUACAGCAAGUUUUGUGGAAGAGAUGCGUGAGAAAUUCAGACGCUUGAAGCAAGGAAGUUCGCCUGUGUACAAGUACAAUGUGGAGUUCCAGGAGCUGGCUCGUUAUGCUAAACAGGACAUUUCAUAUCAGAAGAGCAAGAUUUAUCAGUUCCGAGGUGCUCUGAAGGAAGACUCAGAGCUGGCCCUUGCCUUGCACGAUCCUCUCGAGUUCGGCCAGUUUUACAAUUUGGCUCUCAGGGCUGAGGCGGCUUUGCUCAAAGCUGAGAACUCAAGAAAGCGUUUUAGAGAUUCCAGUUCCUCGUCCUCAACUCAGGUGGUUUAGAAGCAACAGAAAUAUUGGGUGUCUCCUCCUCCUCGGCAGCCUCAGCAGUUCAAGCAGUCUAGUGCUCGUGGUUCUUCCCACCCAUCCAACCCAGCUUUCCAGCAGAAAUUUCAACAGCAGAAGGCAGGAAAUCCUGAAGUGCAAUUUCGUCUGCUGCUAGAGGUGACUUGUCACAGGUGUGGUCAUAAGGGUCAUUACUCUAACAAGUGCACCAACUAGCAGCGUCUCCCGCCUCCUCCUCCAGUCAAGCCUCUAGGCAAUGCUAUGGUGAAGUUUAAUCCCAGGUCAGCAAGGGUGAAUAUGGUGAAUGCAGCUCAAGCGUAGAACUCCUCAGAUGUGAUCAUGAGAAAUCUCUCAGUUAAUGAUAUUCCUACAAAGGUUUUGUUUGAUUCUGGUGCAUCUCAUUCAUUCAUGUCUAGACUGUUUGCAUGGAAACAUGAUUUCCUUUCAAAAACUUUGGAGAAACCUUUCUGUUUGGUUUCCCCGGGUAUAUUGAUGACUUCAAAUGUGGUGAUUCUGGAUGUCUUUGUCAAGAUGGGUAGCUAUUCCUUUCUGGCUUCUCCAGUUGUCCUUGGCGAGUCGGAUAUUGAUCUCAUCCUUGGCAUGGAUUGGCUGGUGAUGAACAAGUCCUAUAUUGAUUGUGAAGCCAAAGAAGUCAAGUUGACUCAUCCUUCAGAGGACGUGAUUAUCUUUGCUGCUCGCGAUGACAUGAUCCGUCUGUUUUCCCUCAAUAUGAAGGGUGAGAUCUCUCCCAUUUUUGAAGUUCCAGUGGUCUGUGAGUAUGAAGAUGUCUUUCCAGAAGAAUUGCCAGAAAUGCAUCAGCACCGACCAGUGGAGUUUGUAAUUGAGCUUGAACCUGGAACUGAACUGGUCUGCAAGCGGCUGUACAAACUUGGUCCCGAAGAGUUGAAGAAGCAGCUUGAUGAGCAAGAACGUUUGGGCCUGAAAACACCAAGUUCAUCUCCUUGGUGUUGUGGUGUUCUGUUUGUCAAGAAGAAGGAUGGCACGGACUGACUCUGUAUCGAUUACCGUCCAUUGAACAAUAAGGCAAUCAAAAACAAGUAUCCAUUUCGCAACAUCAAUGAAUUGUUUGAGCAAUUGAAAGGAGCCAAGAUUUUCUCUAAGCUUGAUCUUCGAAUGGGCUAUCAUCACAUCCGCAUUCACGAAGAACAUAUUCCGAAGACUGCUUUCAAGACAAGCUUUGGCUCUUAUGAGUACACACUGAUAUCUUUUGGUCUUGCCAAUGCUCCUCCGACCUUCUCUCGGAUGAUGAAUUAUAUCUUCUCCCCAUUCAAGAAUGAAUUUGUCUUGGUGUAUCUUGAUGACAGUUUGGUCUUUUCUGAAACUGAGGAAGAGCAUGAAUAACAUCUCCGGCUUGUGCUUGAUAAGCUAAGAGAGCAUAAGUUUUAUGCUAAGUUUUCCAAAUGUGAAUUCUGGUUGAAGGAAGUUGUGUACCUUGGGCACAUCAUCUCUGCCGAGGGCACCAAAGUUGAUCCUACAAAGGUGAAGGCCAUUGUCGAGUGGGAACCUCCUCAGAAUGUGAUGCAGCUUCAAAGCUUUCUCGGGCUUGCAAGCUAUUGCAGAAGGUUCGUUGAGAACUUCACCAAGAUUGCUAAGCCUCUAUCCAACCUUCUUCAGAAGAGUGUGAAGUUUGUCUGGUCUCCACAGGGUCAAUCGGCUUUCGAUACACUCAAAGAGAAGCUCACUUAAACUCCAGUCUUGACUCCUACUGAUGAUUCCAAGCCUUAUCAAGUGUUCUGUGAUGCCUCUCUUCAUGGUCUUGGUGCAGUUCUGAUGCAAGAUAAGAAAGUGGUAGCUUAUACCUCGACGCAGUUGAAGCCAAGUGACAAGAACUAUCCCACUCAUGAUCUUGAGUUGGCGGCAGUGGUCCAUGCCUUGAUGACUUGGAGACACCUUUUGUUCGGCAGACAGGUUGAAGUCUACAUUGAUCACAAGAGUCUCAAAUACAUCGUCACCUAACCUAGUCUCAAUCUUUGCCAAACUCGUUGGGUGGAAAUGAUCCAAGAUUAUAAUCCGAGCAUUGACUUCACUCCAGGCAAAGGAAAUGUCAUUGCAGAUGCUUUGAGCAGAAAGGCUUACUGCAACAGUCUCAUUCUGAAGCCUCCCAGCCUGAUUUUUGUGAAUCUUUCAGGAAGCUCAACCUUCAAAUAGUACCUCAGGGAUUUCUUGCUAAUCUCCAGAUUUCUCCUACCUUGGAAGACCAAGUCCGACAAGCUCAACUUCUUGAUGCGAUGGUGAAGAAAGUUAAGAUUGGCUUGGCAAAGAGCAUUCCAAAAUAUAAGUUAUUCCGUGUUGAUGACAGAGUUACCUUGUUCUUCGAGGACUGCCUUGUUGUUCCGAAAGGGGAGCUCGGGAAACUUAUCAUGGAUGAAGCCCAUAAUUCCCUCCUCUCGAUACAUCCAGGAAGCUCCAAAAUGUAUCAGGAUCUGAAGCAGACCUUCUGGUGGACUCACAUGAAACGUGAAAUUGCUCAGUUCGUGAACGAGUGUGACGUGUGUCGUAGAGUGAAGGCGGAGCAUCAACGUCCAGCAGGCCUCCUUCAUCCCUUACAUAUAGCCGAGUGGAAAUUCGAUCAUGUGGAAAUGGAUUUGUCACUGGGUUUCAGAAGUCCGAGAGAGGCAACGAUGCCAUCUUUGUCAUCAUCGACAAGUUGACCAAAGUUGCUCAUUUCCUCCCGAUCAAAGAGUCUAUCACGACAGCUCAGCUUGCAGAGUUGUAUACGUCAAGGAUAGCCUCAUUGCACGGUGUUCCUAUGCGCAUUUCUUCAGAUCGUGGAAGCAUCUUUACUUCCAAGUUCUGGGAUUCCUUUCAGACUGCGAUGGGUACUAAGAUCUGUUUCAGUACAACUUUCCAUCCUCAUACAAGUAGUCAAGUUGAGAGAGUCAAUCAGAUCCUUGAAGAUAUGCUCAGAGCUUGUGUGAUUUCUUUUGGCAUGAAGUGGGAAGAUUGCCUACUAUUUGCUGAGUUCUCAUACAACAACAGCUUUCAAGCAAGCUCAGGCAAGGCUCCAUUCGAGAUUCUAUAUGGCAGGAAGUGUCGUACCCCGCUCAAUUGGUCAGAGAUUGGUGAGCGUCAGAUUCCUGGGAAUGACAUGAUUGCUGAAGCAGAAGAAAUGUAAUGUGUCAUUCGGGAUAAUCUCAAAGCAGCUCAGUCCCGUCAGAAGAGCUACUAUGAUAGCAAACAUCAUGACACGACUUUUCAGCUCGAUGAUUUUGUGUAUCUCAAAGUGUCUCCCAUGAAGGGUACUCGGUGCUUUGCCAUCAAAGGAAAGCUUGCCCCUCGCUUUGUUGGUCCUUUCAAAGUUGUUGGCAAGAGAGGUGACCUUGCAUAUCAGUUAGAGCUUUCAUCCAACUUUUCCAAUGUGCAUGAUGUGUUCCACGUCUCUCAGUUCCGGAGACGCUUCAAGACUCCCGAGCGCACAGUUGAUCUCCAGGAUAUCAAUCUCCAGCCCGACCUGUCCUGCCAUGAACAUCCUAUAGCCAUUCUUGAAGAGACUGAGCGCAAGACCCGCAAUAAGUCAAUCAAGUUCCUCAAAGUGCAACGGUCACAUCAUUCAGACAAAGAAGCUACUUGGGAGCGCGAGGACCACCUCUUGUAGUGUGGGAGAGUUGUGACAGCCCCAAUGCAAUUCUUCCACCACCCCUUGUAAUCUUUCCUUGUAAGGCAACCAUGUGAUGUUAUGUCAAGUGGGUUGAGCUCAUUGGUGUCUUCAUUUCAUGUGCAUCAUGGCAUCAUCAUUCAUCUUUGUUUUGUGUUGCACCCUUAGUGAUUGAAAGUGGAGUGUUAUGUGAGUGUGGCAUGUGAUUGUGUCUGAUGGGGACCAACUAUCUUAUCUUCUCAAAACCCUUGUUGCACCAAAAGUCUUGCAAAACCCCUUCUCUCCUCUCUUAUUUUCUUUGAGGCAGUUUUAAAAGUUUCUGUUUUGGGUGAAAUAAAAUGUUCAUCUCUCCCCUCUGGUUUUAGUUUUGUUUUCCCUGUUUCUUUUAUUUUAAAACAGUGUCUUAUACAAAUAAAAGUCUUUAAAUUUUACUCUCCAAAAAUGCCCAAUUUAUUUUCAUAAAUUGGUGCAUGAUUUUAGAAGCCCAGGUAUAUUUUUAUUUUGUUUUAUUCCUUUCUUUUGCCUGUGGCAUUUUUUCAAACAUGCUUCUCUUUUAUUUGCGAAGGGCUUUUUUUCUAGAGAGAGAGGUCCAGGCCCAUUGCAAUAGUUUUGGCCCAGCCAGCCCAGGGCGUGACCCUCUUCUUCCUCGCGCCGUCACCUUCGUACGAUGCCAGGGAGAGCCGCCAGAUCGUGUCUUCUCCCUGAUCGACGGUCGUGCCUCGGUAUGCAAGCUAUUUAGCCUUCCCCUUCCCGUCUCCUUGCCCUAGCCUCUCUUCUCCCCCUCUCUUCUCCCUCUCGUGCUGUCAGGAAGAAGUAGAGCGUAGCCGUCACCAUGGACAGCUCCCGCUCGAGCUCGACGCUAGUGUAGCGUCGCCUUCCCUCCUUCCCUGUUUUGUCCAGGAGCAAGCGGUGCCCGGCACGGUUCCAUUUUCGUGAAGAUCCGGCGACGAGGACUACGUCCCUGACGUCCACGAUUGUCGGCUCCUUCCUCUUCUCUCCGGUUAUCUCUUUUGCAGAGAACCUCGACGUCGCGUGUUCCUACCCUGCGUCGGCUCUUCUUUCCGUCCCUAGGUGAGUGUAGUCUAUUCCUCUCCGCUCCCCUCUUCGGUAGUAGCCUUCGUAGUUGUGCCGCAUCCGUAGUCGUGUCGGAGUUGCACCGGCAGGUAGUAGCUUGCAGCGGCAGCAAUAGGUGGUAGCUUGUAGCAACAGCAAUAGGUAGUAGCUUGCGGCAACAGCAGUAUGUAGUAGCUUGCAUCAGCAGCAGCCGUAGUUCGUAGCGCAGCAGCAGAUCGGUAGGCAGCGGUGGCAGUUGCAGAUCAUAGAAGCGGCAGCACGUCGUCAGCCCUCCUCUGCUUUCGAAGAGAGGACGCCCGGGGUUUUUCACCUCGGUUAGACCCCCUUACGAGCAGAUGCACUGCCCUAGCCUGACCGGUAUGAUGCAAGCGCAAUGACGUGAGGUCUUGGGUUCGAUCCAUGCUCCCCCCCCCCUUCGCGUGGUAGUGUGGAGAGCAGAGCAGGUUCAUUCUGCUUGCUGCUCUGAUUAGAGCAGGUGUGCGUCGAUGGCGCAGUGGCAACCGAACCAUCUCUCGUGCAGCAGGUGGUGGGUUCGAGUCCCCCUUCCGCCUCUUUUAUUCUGUUGGGAUUUUUCCCUAUUAGUUCCUCUUUUAUUCUGUUGGGAUUUUUCCCUCCUGUUAGGGAGGCACAGCCCGAUUAGUUCCUCUUUUAUUCUGUUGGGAUUUUUCCCUCCUGUUAGGGAGGCACAGCCCGAUUAGUUCCUCUUUUAUUCUGUUGGGAUUUUUCCCUCUUGUUAGGGAGGCACAGCCCGAUUAGUUCCUCUUUUAUUCUGUUGGGAUUUUUCCCUCCUGUUAGGGAGGCACAGCCCGAUUAGUUCCUCUUUUAUUCUGUUGGGAUUUUUCCCUCCUGUUAGGGAGGCACAGCCCGAUUAGUUCCUCUUUUAUUCUGUUGGGAUUUUUCCCUCCUGUUAGGGAGGCACAGCCCGAUUAGUUCCUCUUUUAUUCUGUUGGGAUUUUUCCCUCCUGUUAGGGAGGCACAGCCCGAUUAGUUCCUCUUUUAUUCUGUUGGGAUUUUUCCCUCCUGUUAGGGAGGCACAGCCCGAUUAGUUCCUCUUUUAUUCUGUUGGGAUUUUUCCCUCCUGUUAGGGAGGCACAGCCCGAUUAGUUGUUGUGCUUCCCCUGUUAGUGCAGAUAGCAUGCGGUAGCCGAGUGGCACGGUGUGGUGUGUGGGGGUGAGGUGGAGGGUUCGAUCCCCACCAAGCCCAUUUUCCCCUUUUCCAUUUUUUAGCUGUGUGUGUGGUGUGUGACAGGUGGGUCGACCACAUGUGAUAUGCUAAGGGCUCCUGGUCCCUAUGACCAGUGGGCCCCCAUGUCAUUUCGUGUGCUUAUUUAUUAUUUUCUUUUGUUUGUGAUGUAUUUCCAAAUCUGGAAUAUUUCCAGAAGAGGAAUAUACCCAAUUGGACAGGUUCAAGAAGAGCUCUUGUUCUGGACCAUAGGAGAGUUUGAUCAUGUGUAGUAUUUCUUUUGAUGUUUGUGAUGUUUUUCUGCAUGCAUAUAUAGCAGUAUGGUAUAUGGUUUUGGGGUAGAAAACCCCAAAGAAUCCAAUGGUGGCACUGGAUUUCAGAGUUGAGGAGUUGUGCAAAAUUGUCAUUUUGUGAUGAGUGGCACUUGGUUAUAUGUGUAGGAUUGUUUAUGUGCAUAUUUAGGGGUUGUGCAUCCAUGCAUCAUAUUGAUUGUUGCAUUAUCAAUUGCUGAUGUUUAUUGUUGUUUGUUUCUUUUGGGUAGCUAUUGGGUCCGGAAACGAGUUCGAGGAGUCCGGUGAGUUCGUGCAGGAAGAUCAGGAACAGUUCCACUCUGAAGAUAUCACAGGCAAGAUGAUUGUGACAUUGACACUGUUUCUAGAUUUGUUAUGCUUAGUGAUUCGUUUCCAUCAUUAUAUCUCCGAUGUAUACCACCUCAUAUAUAGGCCAUCAAACAUUGCCAUGAAACCUCAAACACGUACCCUCCUAGCAAAUAUUGUUUGGCGAAGUUAGGCUUGUUCAACCUUUAUUAUUAGCAUUGCUAGUUGCAGGUGCAAGCUGGUCCAUGUGAUAACAUGGGCAUUUGAAAUCAUCCUUAUUAAUUUUCUAUUUAAUUAAUGCACCUAUAUAGUUGGUAAAUAGUGGAAGGCCUAGCCUGUUGCCGGGUGAUUUGUUCCGCUGUUGCCGCCUUAGUUUCGGCUACCGGUGUUUUAUUUCUUAAGUGAGCGCUCCUAACACGUUCGGGGUUGUUAUGGGGACCCCCUUGGUAAAUCGUUUAGUGUUAAGGCUUGUCUGGCAAGACCCAACUUUGGUGUUAAUUUUCUAACAACUUAAUAAAAAACAUAGGGAGUAGCUACCCCGAGGAAUCUAAUCAAGCCCCCCCCCCCACGGCCAGUGCUCCUCAUGAGUGUUGGUCCAAACUAGAGCACUGUGCGGGGCCAACCCAGGGCAUCUUCGGUAUUUUCUACCAGGCCACCUUACGCGUAGCUUAUCCGACGUGUCCUUUGACUGAGACACGCGGCUCUUAUCGGGUUCGUCGACACGUCGAGAGGUCUUGCUGGACUUGUCUUACCUUAGCGAUAUAUCUUGUGCAUUGGGAUUCCGGUGAGACUUUGGUUCUUCUCAGAGUUGAGGUUUUACUUUAAGGAAUCCGACGAGAUCGCGAGUUUCGUGGUCGAGGAUUACUAUGCAGCCCGUGGUAAUUUGUGAUGGAUUAGUUGGAGCCCCCCUGCAGGGUUAAAUCUUUUGGAAAGUCGUGCCCAUGGUUAUGUGGCAACAUGGAUAUUUUGUUAACAUUCGGUUCUAUACAAUCUAAAGUAACUUAACUAAAAUCUGCCAACUGUGUGCGUAACUGUGACUGUUUCUUUUAGAGCUCCUUCUCUGAUCGAGAACACGGUGGGGUUAUGAAUGACGUAAGUAGGUAUUCAGGAUCACUUAGUGAUCUUAGAUCUCGAUCGUCUUACAUAGUCCACCAUAACAUAUUUCUGAUCUUCGUAAGUUAGCCUCCAUAUAAGCUUACGUUGCUGCAAACUCAAACACUUAACCCUACCUCACUCAUUAACUUAGUUAGACUCGAUACCAAAGUCAUGAGAUUGUUGAGUCAUCGUGACUCACAGUUUACUACAACCACCCAGAGGUACAGGUACCCUAGAUGCAGACGUUCCCGGAGAUACCCAGCUGAGGUGGGAGUUCGACGAGGCAGUGGCAGACUGUACGUGACAUAUCCCAAGGAUUAUAGGCACUUGGUCGUGAUCGUGGGCCUAGCAAUAUGGGAUAGCAUUGCUUUUGUCGUUUAUCUUGUCCGUAGUCGGACCCUGCUUUCCAUUUGAAUAAUGUACGACUGUGUGACUCUGUAAUUUAGCUUGUGGUGAGUGUAAGCCAAAUCCUAUUACUCUUCCAUCCAUUAUGUAUUGCGAUGUUUAUCCUAUUUGUGAAACACUUAGAUGCACCCCUUUCCCCUUUUGAGGCCUCGCCCUCAAAUAAGGAAAGAGCCGCAUCUUAGUCGUUACAAUCACAUACCUCUUUGAAGGUUUCAACGCAAUUCCAUUGUAAGUUCUAACAUCCGUGUAAGACAUGGCGCCUUUGACAACCAUUGUUUUUUUGUGUGAUAGCCAAGUCCAUCUGGUUGGAAGUCACAAUAAGUUAGAGACCUAGCACUUGUAUGAGAUCUGUUAGCUACGAACAACUCCAUUAAUAUUGUUCUCUGCAGCCAUGCAUCGUCAGCAACCGGAUUUGGGUUUUCUUAACAUUGAAACGCGCUAUGUGUUUAUUCAAUAGAUGAAUGGGCAAUCUUUUAAGACAAGGCAUUUUACUGUGUAUAUCAAAGCCAUAUAUUCUCCAACAACCAUCUUCAUCACAUAUGUAGCGGCAUUCUCUAUAUUACAUGAUCCCUUCAAUCUCAAUACUAUGCUUUCAAACGACGUUUUCAAAAAAUCAGGGCCCUUCGUAACAUACCUAUAAAGAUACUUGAUCACAUGGGUUCUAUUGCACCACUCAACGUUAAUGUGCGCCUAGUAUUAUUUUUAGCAUGAGCAAGUUAUAAGGAACAACAUGCCUAUUAUUAAGCCUAACCUUCUUUUUAACUAUAAAACGAUCGUUGUCUAGGCGACUAUACAUAGGGAAUCCACUAUCUACAAAGAUUUCGAGCUUGAAUGACUUGCGAAAAAAAUUGAACACAAUCUAUAUUUCAUGCAGGGACAUUUAUUAUUAUCCUCCCCACCACAGGUGUCACUAUAGGAAUCAACUAAUUUACCGUCAGUGGGAAACAAACGGCAAAUGCAUGAAAAUAGAGGACGGAUUAUUUCUCGUCUAGCUGAUGGCAAAGUUAGUUGGCAAAUCGUAAAUUGGAAAAGUGAUCUCUUUGUCGUGUGUAAAUAGAAAAGCACACGCCAAAGCCUAUUUUGCCGUGUGUAAAUAAAAACACGACAAAUCCUAUUUUAUCGUCUAUCUUGAUGAGAAGCUGACGACAAAGACCUCCAUGGAGGGUAAAUCAGCUGAUUAUUAUAGUGUGUGUAUCAUGUGUUCAAAAACAAGAACAUAUCCAAAAGGAUCCGCAACAGGUUCAGGGAUGGCAGUCGAUAUAAAAGAGUCAAUUAAAGUAGGACUAACCUCUCGUUUCUUCCUAUCAAGCCAGACUAAGAUAUGGGCAUGAGGAAGCCCUAUUUUCUAACACUCCACUGUGUGUAGCACUAUGAAUAAAUAAAAAAAUAAGAUUCAAAACGAGCUAGGAGGGAAAAGAAUUAAAGAAACAAAAUGGGAGCAAUCGCAAAGCAUGUAUUACUAGCCACGGCAGAGCCAAAUGCCUCCCCACUCUUAAUAUCAUGAAAAUAGUCACUGAGCUUCCCUAACUGGAAGAUCUGCCCUAUCCAAAGGCAUUUGCCCAGGCUCAUAACAGAGGGCUUCAAUUACUUCAGCCACUUGGGAUUACAGGUAAAGGUGGUGAAAAGGUCUAGUGGACCGAACACACGCGAAAUAGCCACUACAUCUUGGAAGUUCUCAACCAUAUAACGCCAGCCAUCGAUAAAAGAGGAUAGAAUUAUGUUUUUCUUGCCAAGAGAACUUGCAUCUGUCUACCCUUUUCCAACAGCAUCACUGUUCUCCGCUCUAAGACCAUUAUUAGCCUUCAUGAUAAAAUGCAGCCUCCACUCAUCUAUGCAUGCGCGUGCAUCUACAAUAGUCUAUGAGGAAAGCAAACCAUAGCAAAGGUAUGGAUUAUGCUGCUCUGGUCUACAGUGGAGGCAAUAGGAAUAACAGUCCUGCAUGGUGAGCCUGGUGAUUUUGCUCGUAUCUAAAGGGUGAACCAAUAUAUUUAAGCCAAAGUUGAAACGCAUGCUCCGCAUAGCAGAAGAGAAGAGAAUACUGCAAAGGCAUAUAUGAAGUUUGCAAAGAACAUAUUUGUUGCGUAUUGUCAUCUCUACCAUGUAUUAGUAUGUCACAACAAGAAGCCUCCAACGCAAACUCACCAAACAUUAAAGAUGCUAGCUUGUCGGUCGUUGGAAGGCUAAAGUGUGGACUAUCAGAUUCUCCAGGGGCAACUAAACGAACGCCUAUCUCAGCAUGAUUAUUGGCUUCUAGUAUUUCUCUAGAUCAUCGAAAUGUUUUGACAAAAAGAACUAUGUGUAUCAAGCAUGUGCAUCAAGCCUUCAACACUAGAUUCAUCUAAAGCACCAUUACCAUUUUCACCCUUGUCUAAAUCCUAAAUCUUGUUCUUUAUCUCAUUCUGGGUAACAUAUAUAUAGAGUUUAGCAUAGUUUGGGGUGUUUCCUUCCUUAGGCAUAAGAGACUCCAUUCGAUGACAAACCUCACAAUUUAUUUUGUAUAUAUUUGGGUCAUUUACAUCAUUCACCGAACAGUCAACGGUAGUUCCCAUGGAAAUAAAUGCAAAGAGGCAGUUGUAUUGGUGUAAUUUUUUAUAAACUCUUUGCUACGUGGGAGGCCAUUGUAUCUCAGCAACUCAAAUAGAAACAAGGGCAACUUUUUAGAAGGUGUAAUAUACACCUUACCACCCUUGCAACAUGUGUUGUAAACUACCCGCCUUAGUGUGAUUGCGGACUCCGACUUCACCCACUCAUCGAACUAGAAGACUGUACCACACCUGGGACAUCUGUAGUCUAGAAAGAUCUCUUUUGGUACCCAACUGCAAAUUUAUUUUGCCUCGGUAACAAUAGUGGAUAAGCAACGCAUCAUAGGAGAAUUUGCAUGCAUAUCGGUAGGGGGCAUACCUUUCAGCAUCUUGGACUCCUCGGGCGUGAAUACAAUCCAGUCAGUGCCUAAGGGUGAUCCAAUGGCAGGCUCAUUUCCCCUAAGUCUAUCGACAAUCGCCCUGCAUCUCUUUCUAUUACAGGCCAUAAUUUCUGGAGUAAGAACGGGCAAGAAACCAUCGUCUACAAAAAUAGAGGCCAUGUCAUAGGCAGGAAUAGGAAUCACGAGCGCAUAAGAGGCACAUCCAUAAAACAAAAGAAACCUAUUUCAGAAGAGGAUCUCGUACAUUUUAUUUUGGGUAGGCCUAAGGAUAUGUAAGGCGACAACGGGUCAAAGAAAGAUUGUUUCCGCCGAACAAAAGGUGGAUGAUGGCUACUUGAAGCAGCAUUAAGACUAACAGAACGAUGCAGAGGCAUGAUAGUCAGAGGAACGACAUGAAGAAUAACCACAGCACACUGCAACAGAAAUAUAAAACCAUGAAUGAAACAAAGAAGCGAAGUCAAACAGUGGCAGACACAUAGAAGGAAAAAACAAAGAAGAAGCGCGGCAGGAUGCACAUUCCACCUUCUAAAAAUACCUGAUCUAAAACCGAGAAAUAUCUUUUUAUCCACAGAGCUAGUAAAAAGCAUCUGAAAAAACCAAACUGAGAAACAAAACCUAAGAUGUGAAACCUUGGAUUUUGGAAAACCGAUAAAAACAACACUUUAUUUUCUAACAGAAGGAGACACAAUCUAAUCAGGUAGACAAAAUAGCAAGAGGACAUAGAACCAGACCAAAAAGCAAAAUCCAAGAAACAAUAUCCUAUAAAGGGCAUGGAAUUGACAUUUUUGACUACAAUGAAAGGAAGAGGCAACCCAAAAAUACACCUACGGGAAAAGAACAAGAAUCAUUUUUUGACUGCAAUGAAAGAAAGGGGCAUCCCAAAAAUACACCUAAGACAAAAGCACAAGAAUCAUUUUUUGGGAGAAGUUUAAGAAAAGAAGGGGGAAAUACAAAGGAGGUAGAAAAGGCCCAUCAAGCAAAAUCGAAGAAACAUGCUUUUAAAAGCCCAAGAAGAAUCAAACCAUAACACCAAAGGCAUAAGUUCCUAUGAAGCCCAUGCUAGUUUUUUUCUAUAAGACAGGGGGAAGCCCAAAGGCCGAAGACCCAACCGAAGAAGAACUGAUAAACAAGCAAGGCAUCUAUUAUAGGGGCACGUGUGGGAAGGACGUUGAAUUUGAAGUGGAAGGUUGACCUUUUUAAUUCCGUAAAAUGUAGAAGGUAGCAAGGCCCAAAGGCCAGGUAUAUGAACUAUAAAAAGACUAAAGGUAUCAUCCCAUCCAAUACAAAGCAUGCAUGCAGACCUAAAUAAGAAACCAAGAAAAGAUAGCUAAAGAGACCGAAGAGAGGAAAACACAUGCGAGUGUAGUAGGCCCCAAUCAUUUAUCUCUGUGUUCGUAGAGGGAUAGCCCAAGCGAAAUAGCUCCCUCUCCAAGUGUCCAACGUGUCGAGUGGCAGAGACUGCAACUAUUAUGGAAGAACAAAGUGAGCUCCUAUAGGACAAAAUACAGUCAUAAUUAUAGCCUAGAACUACAAACACAUACAGACGCUGCAAAAAACUUAUGGCCUCAAGGGAAGCCUAUUCAUAGGCAUGGACAAAACUAUUAGAUUGAUCUCUGACCGCGUGGGCCCAACGGCCCACCGGGCCUUGAUCUAUGCGCCCUGAUCGGGGGCGCCCAACCCAUUAUGGUUGGUGGGCCCCUGUGACCCGCGCUAUAUAAAGGAAGGUGGGAUGCCGGGGCACGAACUACGAGAUUCGCUGCUGUCACACCCCUACCGACAUACCUAUCCGAUCUAGGUUAAGCGCGGUGCUCACGGAAAGCUCCACCCACGCCUAACCCUCUUUCUCCGUCAUCGCCGUCGCUACCGCACCGAUGGAGACCGUGGGAGCUCAUCCAGCUCAGGACAAGGUAAACCUACGGGCACUACUGUUGGCAAUAAGCCACGGUGAGCGCAGCCUGCAUGCUUGCGGGCGUGAGCUGGCCGCGUCGGGUCCGUGGCAGGUGUCCCUGUGUGUGUGUCUGGGCAUAGGCUGGUUAGUGUACGACUUGCCGGAUGGUCUGGCCAUAGUCCGUGUAUAGUCCGGCUAAUUUACAGGCUGUGUGCGUGCGUGAGUGCGUGUGUCUGUUAGCUAGAUAGCCAAGGAUGUGACCGCGUCGCCCGCACUGGAAACGGCCGCGUUGUUCGCGUUGGAGCGCGACGGGUGCGCUGGCUGGGAGUGCGAGACGUGGAGAGCGAGUCUCGUGGUGGAGUUCGUGGCUCCAUGCACGAGGGCGGACAACUCGGCAGGAGAACGCGUACGUGCGCGUAGAGCUCGCUGGAGUUGGUUUCGUAGGUGUUGCGUCUCUGUGAGGCUAUAAGUGAUGAUGUACUGCUCUUGUGUGUGAUGUGGGUUGAGUUCGAGCUCAAAGAAAAACGUUGUUGUUGCGGCAGGCGUUCGUGCGCCAAGGAAAACCACCGUGUCCUGUUCCUUCUUCUUCCCUCCUUCCUCCUCGGUACGAGCCAGAGAGAGAGAAGUGUGCAGAGAGACAGAGAGAGGUAGAGCUAGGACAAGGGCUCGGUUCCAACAACUACCGUGACUCAUCUACCCUAGUCGAUCCGCAGGAUCUAUCAAUGGUAUCUUGAGCCACUAGGGUAAGAUGUGUUUCGGUCAAAGAAACCAAAGAGAAAAAAAUUCCCUCCCCAGAAGCACCGAAGAUGGCCUCGGGCCUCAUCGGAAAAGAAGCGCCGCCGCAAGGCCGCGCCUGUUCCUCUCGAUCCCCACACGCAUCGGCAAGCCGAGGUGUGGGGAAGAAGAACCUACCUCCUCGGAGGCUAAAGAACGGAUCAAGAUCCAACAAGAAAACAAAGAAAGUAAACGGAUCCGAUCCGGAAAAGGCAAAAAAGGGGAGAGGAACAUGCAAAGACACGGCAUAGGCCGAAGGAAAAAGAAAAGGGCGCCGCAAACACGUCGUUCGACGGCGGUGCGCUUCCGCCAAGGGAAACGCACCACCGGCGAAGGGGUGGUCACGGCGCCAUAGGCCUAAGGCCGCGGGACAAAGCAACAUGGCCAUGGAGCACCCUCUUGGCAGGGACAAAGGCACCCCUAACACACCACUUGACGGCGGCGCGCUCUCCCUCGGGAGAGGGCGCGCACCGGCAAGGGGAGUGAAGGGGGCCACCGCUGAAAUGAAAAGACAAUCGGCCGUGUGGGAGCUUAGCCCCACGCCGGCGGCCAGAUCUAGCCACUCCCCGGGGGGCUGCAAGCCGCCGCGCGAGGGAAGGAAGGCGGGGCCCCAGAGAGGCAUCCUCGGCGGGGCAUCGAUGCAGCCGCGCGUGGGAAGCCCUCGGCCGCCCCAAGAAUCUUUUCGGCCUGCACCGGCCGCAAGGAAGAGGCCGAAGGCCAGAGGCGAGCGACGUGAGCUCCCCCCCCCCUCCAAAGCAACUCGCGGGAGGGAGGACCUUCGCCGCGCUCGACAGGAGGGUGUUAGACCUCACCGCCGGCGGCCGGCUCCUUUCCUGGCCACGGGCUGCUCGGGAGAGAAGGGGCGGGCGCCAGAGAAACGAGAAGCGAGCGGCUGAGGGGGCAAAUGGAGUUAGGGUUUCGGCAGGGGAUGGGCUCUAGCCCUUUUUGUUUCGCCGAAAGCUAUGCCUGACCGUAGGAUCUCAUCCGNNNNNNNNNNNGGGUUUUUUAGUUUCUGUCUAUUAAGGCAGAUUCAAAGUUUUUUUUUCUAGGAAUUUUUUCCUACGAAAACAUGAUUAGAAAAAGAAAAAGGAAAUGUUGAAAGUUUCUGACAAUUUACACAGAAUUGUAAUAUUAUUUUUCUGAAAAGAAAAAUAAAAGGGUUUCUGAAAAUAAAAUAGUUUUUCAGAAAAAGAACGUUCAUGAUCUUUAUAAAAGCAUUAAUAAAGAUCACGAGUUUUAUAUAAAAUAACAGAAUUAUUUUCUGUAAAAUUAAAAGGCAUAUGAAAUUUUAAACUCACGUUUUCCGCUGCUAAGUAAAAUAUGAAAUGUGGUCAUGCUAUUAUUCUCACCAACGUUGUUUAGUAACAUGAUCAUGUUGCAUAUUGCAAAAGAUGCAUUUAUUUCUAUCAGUUGCCCAACGGUAAUGUACAUUAAUUUGCAUAGGCAAUUGUAUGAUUACUUUAACCAACGUUAUUUAAUUCAUAUAAUUGUCGUACUGACUUUGCUUAUAUGGUGAUUUCAGGAGGUUUUCAUCUGAUGAGUUGCCUCAAGGACGUUCCUACACUCAUAGGGGAUAAUUACUCUGAGUGGAGGAAGAAGGUUGACAUGGCUUUGUGCAUUGCUGAGGUGGACUGGGUUCUGGAGGAACCACAGCCAGCUGCUCCCUCAGAACCAGACAGAGAUGCUGACGAGGAUGAUGAGAGUUGGGAGAAAAAGCAAUGGGAUUGUGGCAAAGAGGAGAUGUCCUACUUCAUACGUAACAGGUUAUGGAUAAAUGCCAACAACAAAUGUUUGGCAUUUAUUAAGAACACCAUUGAGACCACCAUUGUGGGCUCAAUAGCAGAGUGCCCUACUGCAAAGGAGAUGUUCAACAAGAUAAAGAGUCAGUUUACUGGCUCUUCUAAGACCUAUGUCAUCCAGUUGAUCAAACAACUGGUGACAGAGAGCUACAAUGGAGGUGGCCAUGGCAUAAGGGAGCACAUCCUUAGGAUGAGCAACACGGCAGCCAAGCUUAAGCCCAUGAUGUGAAUCUGGAGAUCAAACCAGCUCUCCUUGUCCACCUGGUCAUGGCUUCGCUGCCUAAAGAAUUUGAGACCUUUGUAGUAAACUACAACAUGCAACCUGAGACAUGGGAUAUAGAAAAGGUCAUCGCAAUGUGCUCACAAGAAGAGGAGAGGAUCAAGGCUUCACAUGGUGGCUCCCUUAACUAUGUAAAGAAAAAGAAAAAGGUUUUCCCACCUAACAAAGGUUCUCCCUCAAAGCCACAGGGCAAAGUUCAAGGCAAGACUCCCGCUCAUUAUCAGCCAAAGCCAAUAACAGUAGACAAGGACACUUGUAUGUACUGCAAGGAAAAAGGGCACUACAAGAAGGAUUGUGCUGCUUGGCUAAAGAUCUUCAUGGUAAAGAGAGGUAAAUAUAUUGUUUCCCUAGUAAAUGAAUCUCUGUAUGUAAAGUUUUGAAAAUCUACUUGGUGGAUUGACGCAGGUGCAACAUUUCAUGUUGCAAACUCUUUACAGGGGUUCAGUUCGAUGAGGACCAUGUGCCAAAAAGAAAGAAGUAUUGAAGUCGCAAAUGGUGUCCAAGCAGAAGUUGAAGCUGUAGAUGACGUCUCCUUGGAGCUAACCGAAGGAUUCAAGCUUUUGCUUAGAGAUGUACUUUUUGUGCCUUCAUGUAAUAGGAACUUAAUAAGUGUUUCAUGCUUAGACAAAGACAAUUAUCAAUGUGUUUUUGGACAUGGUAAAUGUACCGUUUGGUACAAUAAUGAUUAUGUAGGCAAUGGCUUUCUUCAUGAUGUGCUUUAUUUGUUAUCAAUUCAUGACAAAGUGAAUUAUGCAAAUAAUGUGAAUGUUCAAAGUUCUUCGUCGAACAAUGAACAAAAGAAAAGAAAGAGAACUCACGACCUCUCGAAACUAUGGCACUGUCGAUUGGGCCAUAUUUCCAGGGGGAGAAUAGAAAGAUUAAUCAAAAGCGAAAUUCUUCCAAAAUUGGAGUUCUCUGACUUAGAACAAUGCGUAGAUAGCAUUAAAGGAAAAAAUGUAAAACAGAUAAAGAAAGGUGCAAACCGAAGCACAGGAACACUGGAAAUUAUCCACACUGAUAUUUGUGGACCGUUUCCGGUGAAAAGUGUGGAUGGUUAUGAUUCAUUCAUAACAUUCACAGACGAUUACUCCCGCUUAGGUUACAUUUAUCCAAUCAAAGAAAUAAAUGAGGCAUUGGAUAAAUCCAAGAUAUUCAAAGUUGAAGUUGAAAAUCAGCUUGACAAAAAGAUUAAGAUUGUGAGGUCAGACCGUGGGGGGAGUACUAUGGUCGACACACACCAUAUGGCCAAGUCCCUGGACCUUUUGCAAAGUUCUUGAAGGAGACUGGCAUUGUCGCCCAGUAUUCAAUGCCGGGCGAGCCUCAGCAAAAUGGAGUAGCUGAAAGGCGCAACCGUACCCUCAUGGAUAUGGUGUGCAGCAUGAUGAGCUACUCCGACAUGCCAUUGGGAUUGUGGAUGGAGGCGCUUAAAACCGCCAUUCACAUUCUCAACGGAGUACCAAGCAAGUCGGUGCCCAAAACAGCGCACGAGCUAUGGACAGGAAGAGUGCCAUCCCUGCAACACUUCAGGGUGUGGGGAUGUCCAGCUGAGGCCAAAAUGUUUAAUCCAAACAUUGGAAAGUUAGAUCCAAAGACAGUGAGUUGCCAUUUCAUUGGCUACCCUGAUAGAUCAAAAGGUUUUCGUUUCUACUGUCCUGACAGAUACACAAAGUUUGUGGAAACGAGACAUGUUGUCUUCUUAGAGGACGAAAUGAUGAGGGGGAGCAUGGUAGCUCGAAAAAUUGAUCUUGAGGAGAAAAGGGUGCAUGCACCCAUUCCAAUGAUUCAAGAGCCAUUUUUCUCGCUACCCGUUGUAACUCCAACGAUGACAACUAUGGGAGAAGACCCGGAACCUGUCCUUCAGGAGCCGACUGAACCCGUUGUUGAUCAUGAAAGGGAAGUGCAGCAAGAAAUAGUAGAAAGUGUGCCAGAUAAUGAGGCACUUAGAAGGUCUAACAGAACAAGAAGACCUGCUAUUUCUACUGAUUAUAAAGUCUAUAACACAGAAAUGGUUCAUAUGGAAGGUGAUCCCACCACAUACGAAGAAGCCAUUAAAGCCCUCACUCAUCAAAAUGGCUAGAGGCAAUGGAAGAUGAGAUGAAACCGAUGAGUUCCAAUAAUGUUUGGGACUUAGAGAUAAUUCCUAAAGGAGCAAAGACAGUAGGCUGCAAAUGGGUCUACAAAACAAAGUAUGACUCUAAUGGGAAUGUAGAUAAGUAUAAAGCCCGACUUGUGGCAAAAGGAUUCACGCAAAGAGAAGUGAUAGACUACAAUGAGACUUUUUCUCCAGUCUCUUGUAAGGAUUCCUUCCGAAUCAUAAUGGCACCAGUUGCUCAUUUUGAUUUAGAGCUGCAUCAAAUGGAUGUAAGGACCGCAUUUCUAAACGGAGAUUUAGAAGAAGAUGUCUACAUGAAACAACCCAAGGGUUUUAUCAUGGAAGGCAAGGAAAAUAUGGGAUGCCGCCUAAGGGAAUCCAUUUAUGGGCUAAGGCAAGCCUCUAGACAGUGGUACAUAAAGUUUAAUGAUACUAUUAAAAGGUUUGGAUUUCAAGAAAAUGUCGAGGAUAACUGCAUUUAUGCAAAGUUUAAACAUGGGAAAUAUAUUUUCCUAAUCUUGUAUGUGGAUGAUAUCUUGCUUGCAAGCAAUGGUAUUAGUCUACUACAAGAGACAAAGAAGUUUUUAUCCUCGAACUUCGACAUGAAAGACCUUGGUGAUGCAUCAUAUGUUUUGGGCAUUGAAAUUCACCGAGACAGGAAAAAUGGAGUCUUAGGACUCUCACAGAAAGCAUAUUUAGAGAAAGUUCUCCAAAAGUAUAAUAUGCAUAAGUGUAAAGCCACACCUGCUCCAAUAGUCAAGGGCGAUAGUUUUGGGAAUCACCAAUGUCCCAAGAAUAAGUACGAGCUCGAUGAAAUGAAAACAAUACUGUAUACUUCGGCUGUUGGAAGUUUACAGUAUGCACAAGUGUGCACAUGCCCUGACUUGGCGUUUAUCACCGGGGUACUCGGUAGAUAUCAAGCAAAUCCAGGCCAAGAGCACUGGAAGAUGGCAAAGAAAGCUUUGCGUUAUGUGCAAGGCACAAAAGAAAUCAUGCUAACAUACAGGAGAUCUGAGUCCCUAGAGAUAAAAGGGUACUCAGACGCAGAUUUUGCGGGAGAUAGAGAUGAUAGAAAAUCCACGUCUGGGUACGUGUUCACUCUCGCAGGGGGAGCUAUUUCAUGGAAAAGCUCCAAAUUACAGACCAUAGUUGCAUCGUCCACGAUGCAAGCAGAGUUCAUAGCAUGCUUUGAAGCCACCGGGCAGGUGAUAUGGUUAAAGAAGUUUAUACCCGACUUGAAAGUGGUAGAUUGUAUUCACAAGCCACUAAAGAUAUACUAUGACAACCAGCCCGCAGUAUUCUAUGCUCACAACAACAAGUCUAGUAAUGCUUCCAAGACAAUAGAUAUAAAGUAUUACGUUGUGAAAGAUAAAAUCCAGGAUCAAACUAUAAGUCUCGAGCAUAUAAGUACGAAGUAUAUGCUUGCGGAUCCGCUAACGAAAGGCUUACCACCCAGUGUGUUCAAGGAACACUUAGCCGGCAUGGGUUUGAUGGAAAGCCUAUGAUUCCUGGAUCAUAAGAGGCCCAAAAGUAAAUGAAUUUGUUUCAAAACAAAAGUGUGUUGUAGCUGUAUGAUUCUAUCGCCAAUUAAGCUGUGACGAUGAGACAUGCUCUACAUGCCUAUAUGUGAUGGACCAAAUAAAAGGUAUAAAGUCAAAAGUAAAAGUCGAGAUCAAGGGGGAGAAUGUUAGAUUCAUCUCUCACUGCGUGGGCCCAACGGCCCACCGGGCCUUGAUCUAUGCGCCCUGAUCGGGGGCGCCCAACCCAUUAUGGUUGGUGGGCCCCUGUGACCUGCGCUAUAUAAAGGAAGGUGGGGUGCCAGAGCACGAACUACGAGAUUCGCUGCUGUCACACCCCUACCGACAUACCUAUCCGAUCUAGGUUAAGCGCGGUGCUCACGGGAAGCUCCACCCACGCCUAAGCCUCUUUCUCCGUCACCGCCGUUGCUACCGCACCGAUGGAGACCGGUGGGAGCUCAUCCAGCUCAGGACAAGGUAAACCUACGGGCACUACCGUGACUCAUCUACCCUAGUCGAUCCGCAGGAUCUAUCAAAAACCACACGAGGCCGAGUUCCAAAAAAAUCUCUUCGUGGAACUGGACUAGAACCAUCCCCUAGAAGCUACAGUUCUACCCCGGCACAACGGACCCAUCCUCAGCGAUCUCAAAAAGAUACGAAAGCAUCGGAAAAGCACAUUGAGCCUCCACGGCUUCCAAUAUGGGUAUAACAACUGAAAUAAGAGCACACAUUCUGCUCACACGCAACAGAAGUCAAACAAGACUGGAAAAUAACACGACCUCGAGAACGGCGAGACCAUCAGUACAUCAACAACCAUGACAACAUGCAAAAAGAUAAAUACAUCUGAAGCCACAAACAAUGUACAUGGAGUGGAAAAUGAGAGCAAACCUUGAGCAGCAGCAGCAGGUUGAAGAUCUAGAAACAGAGCACUACUUCCAACCUAUAAAAAAACACAAACAUAAUCAUCAGAACAUAGCAGGAAAAACAAAGCAGGUCCAGAGCACACCUAUUCCAUCAAUGGCACUAAACAAAUGCCGACCAACAUAACGGCAUCAUAACAAUUCUUUUAACCAAAGGAAAUAACACUACUCACUAUACUAAAACACCAUCUACUUAGACAUGCAGCAACAGAAGAAAAAACUCAUCAAUCAACCUCACACGGUGCGCUUUCACGCAAAGCAACAAACAAAAGCAACAUAAACCCUCUACAUAGAUCCAAGGCAGUCUAGAAGAGAAAGUGGAGCACAAGACAUGGUAGAUAUAGACAACUAAACAUUGGAGAAAAGCAACACGCUAUAUUAGCAAGGAAAAGAAAGCCCGGACAUGAACUGCAGAGGCAGCAAGCAAGUAAAAUGGACAAAUCAUCUAUCUUCUCAAACCUAAUCUUUUGGGCUAUCACUAAGUACCGCAUCUCCCCACCAUCCACAAAUAGAAAGAAAGAGGCUAAGGAGCAGCACAUUACCAAAAUGACGAAGCGGAACUAGAACAGCAGCGAGCAAGCAAACGCGGAGGAACAGUCGACCAACCUGAGAACAACCCAAAACACAAAUUGCACUCAUAUAAUACGCUCACGAACAACAUGAACCAUACACAACUAACAAGAGGCAAAAAUGCUAAAUCAGAACAAACGACAGCAGACAACCAUCCUUUCGAGCAUUUCUCCAAAUACCUUGACGGCAUGUACCACACAAAAGCAGAAGAGUUGAGCACUAACCUGGAAAGCAACAACGGAAUGACCCACGCUCCCAGGAAGGAGCCAACGGAAACAUCUAGCAAACUGUGCAUGAAUGGAGAAAACGCAAACAGACCACUUCAGUGAAGAAGAGAAGGAACGACCGGAAAGAACCGAAAAAGGAGAGGAGGAAGAACCUCAACUAACACCAUCCAUGGUACAACGGGCGGCCAUGGCGACAAGCCACAACACGAGUCAUUCGAACUGGAUGAAGCGGGGUGAAGAGGAAAGGACACAACAGUGUGGAAGGAGGACGACAUCGAGCGAACGAAGCGAGCGUGCAGAGAAUGAGAGACGGAAGAAGAAGGAAAGGGUCAAAUCGAAGACAACAGGACCCCCAUCCACCGCGACAGCACGGACAACUCUCACACACUGGCAUCGGAACCCACCACAUAUGCAUCGACACACGUCCUAUCUGGGGCCAGGGGCCACUGUCAGCCCAACAUGAGAGACAACGACAAACACACGCAGGGCACCCACCAG
This 45348-nucleotide long non-coding RNA is filed under the name Hordeum vulgare. RNAcentral's name for it is "long non-coding RNA (HVUL_LNC004052)". Lineage: Eukaryota; Viridiplantae; Streptophyta; Magnoliopsida; Poales; Poaceae. The record is from RNAcentral.